CAAAACAAAGUUCUCUACGAAGAAAUGAAAGUUUGACUAGGGAGAGAAGCUAGAAAAAAACUUUGUUUCAAUUAAAAAAAAGUUAAGCAUCACUUCAAUUUUAACACUUUCAAAUUUUGACAAACUAUUUGAGGUUGAAUGUUGGUGCAGGAAUUAUAAUUAUAUUGUUUCAAGAGAGAAGAGACUUGUGACAUUCUUUAGUAAAAAUUUAAGUCGUGCUAAAUUAAAGUGGUUCACAUACAAUAAAGAAUUCUAAGCUAUUUUUAGGACUCUAAGGAAAGAGAGCAUUACCUGAUAAGCAAGGGAUUUGUUCUCUAUUAUGUGAUCAUGGGCAAGGUUGUUAAAAUCGCGAUUUUAACACGGCAUGGAAAGCCUUACACAAACUUGGAUCAUAAAAACGGAUCGUAAAAUCGUAAGGAAUUUUAAAAUAUAUUUAACAAAAUUCAUGUUUCAAAUAAAAAAUUCAUACUGCUGUGUAAAUAGUCCAAAUUGAAUAGUCCAAAAACCCAAGACUGUUGUGUAAAUAGCGCUAUAACUCAAGGAUUCAAUUGAAUUUCAUCCAAGGGCACAAUUAGAAAUCAAUUAUUUCUGAUUAGGGUCCCAAUUGUUAAGUUUAAAUUGUCUAGGGACUAGAGUGAAAAACAACCAUGCUCAAGGACACAACGACGCCGUUUUGGAAGCAUUGUUCAUCGUCUGCUACGCUUGCGCGGAUGAAGCCGGUUCAACAGGGAAAUCUAGUGCUUAGACCUAGUGCUUAGACCACCAUCAUCUUCGUCUUGAAUAGAGAAGAUCGGGCAGAGGAGCAAGGGGAAGGAACAGGGAAGAACAACCCAGAACAUAGAAGAAACAAAAUCAGGGAGGAAACAGAGACGAAAAACCAGAGGAAUACAGGGGAAAAAGAACAAACAUCAGUAAAAAAAAAAAACAAAAGGGAGCAUGCAGCAGAGACAACAACAGAGAAGGAGAGAAGUUAGCUUUGGCCAAUCAACACAUCUCCGCCAUUGUCUUCGUCAUCAAGCUCCAGCACCAGGCAAAAGCAGAGAGGAGACGAACGAACAGGAGAAGGAAGGAGAGACUGGACAAAGGAGAAGAGAACAGCCCGCCACUACGCCAUCGUCAUCGUCUUCGUUCCGGUGCAUGCAGCCGAGACAACAAACUAAUUGAAUUAAGCUUGUGUUAAUUGUUUCUUAAUUGCCUUCGAUUUGUUAGAGCCAAUAGGAGGGCGACACGUGGCAACAACAUUGAAUUAAAAUUUCCUGCGGGCAAACUCGUUCAAUCAGUGGUGAAAUCGCGAUUUUACGCGAUUUCACCCGAUUUUAACGAUUUGACCCGAUUUUAUUCAUUUCCGAGUUUUAUGUACGAUUUAGCACGUAAAGCUUAUAUUAACUCGUAAAAACGUACGAUUUUACGAGUUGAAUCGCGAUUUUAACAACCUUGAUCAUAGGGCAUUGCAAUUCCCAUAUAAAUAUAAUUGAAUUAGUAAUUAUAUACAUGUGAGAUGCGUGAUUUACUUACAACAGUUCCCUAUCAGAAUCUAGAGUCCAAAAUAAGGUUGUCAAUGCUUUUAAGUAGAAAGAUAACCUUGUUAGUUAACUUAAGAUGAGAGAUUAAUAGAUUUGAUUGUUUGAAAUAAUUGUCGAGCAUGAUGAUGAGAAUUUUAAUGAGUUGAGGGAAAGUGUCAAAACAUGGAAUAAUUAUUAAAAUUUGAAAUUUAUUUAUGAACAAAUCUUCUAAUAUGGAACCAGAGAACGAAAGAAAGCAAGGUUAGCGGACGUUGUCUUCUAGGCACAGCCAUGCCUGACAUGUUUUCUUAAAUGCCCUUCACCUCUUUUUGUUAGUUUUAAUUAAGUAUUAUUAUUUAAAAUUUUAAAAUAUGUAUUUUUAAAAUAAUAUUUAUAAACUUAUUCGGUUGUGCUGUAAUUUUUAAAUAAUAUUAUAAUUUUUUUUAGUAGUGUUAAUUAUUAUUUUAUGAAUAAUUAUAUAUGAACCUAAUAUUCAAGAUUUUUUAAAAAAAAAACUACUCAUGAAUAUUCAAUGAAAAUAAAAUAUUUAUUUUAUUAAUUUAAAAUUAGAAAAUAUAUUUUAUUGUGACUUUCUUAGCAUAGCAUGAUGAGUUUUUGUUUAAAAAUUGUUUUUUAAUAAAAAAUAUUAUGUAAAAAAAAAUACAUAAAUAAUUAAAUAGAAUUUUAACUGAAAUUUUUUUUCUACUUGAAGAUUUAAAUUUUAAAUUUUUUUACUAAUAUUUAUUUUAAUUAAUGUAAAAUUAAAUUAAAAACUAUUUUUAAUCUAAGGAUGAGUGAUGAUAUAUGUGCAGUUUUUUUUUGGCUAUACGUUCCUGGAAACAACUAACCUCCUCCUUCUCCUCUAGCUCCGCCGUUAUUUUACUUUAAUUUUAUUUUUAAAACACAUUAAAUUUAUAAUGAAUAUUUGGAUGAAUAUUAUUUAAGAUUAUUUUUAUAUUUUUAAUGUUUAAUAUAAUUUUAUUUGGUUAAUUAGUUUUUUUAUUAUUAAUAAAUAAUUUUUUUAAAUAUUUUAAAUCAAUAUCGACGGACUUACAAAUGAAAUCAAGCUGUCGGUAUUUUAAUGAAAGUUGCAAAAAAUUUACCAUUCAUGUCACAAUUAUCGACGGAUAUAUUCUAUUGGUGUUUAAUGUUGUUAUUAUUGAUGGAAUAUAUCUGUAAAUAUUUUAUAAAAAAAUCUAAAAUAUUUAUUGUUUAAGCCAUAAUCACCGAUAGCCAGUUUAUCCGUGAUUACCGUUGAAAAUGCAGACAAAAUAAGUUCUUGUAGGAUUUUUUUUUGCGCGCUUUCCCUGUUCAUCAGAAUUUAGUUCCCGAGUCAAAGUUAGAUGCGCGCUAAAGCAACAACUAUAAUCAAUCAGCAACAACCAGGAAAUUACCUUGAUCACGCGCUGCUAAAGAAAUGUCCUUGCUCUCUUUCCUAUAUACGUUACCCUUCAUCUUUGAUAAUUAUUGCAUAUAUAGCUAAUAAUCUGCAAGAAAGCAUUCAUAUUCUUUCUCCAGCUAACCUUUCUGAUUGCUGCAAUUUGAUCUUUAAAGUCGCCAGGUUGCUGGAAUCCGAACAACUCAAACACCAUAUUGAGGUAACCUUUGCGAUUGUUGCUUCUGAUUGCAUGAACGCAUGUAGUUUUAACACUAAGAAGAUUGCGAAACAAGAUUGUUACAUGGGAUUUUAUGCUGUCAUGUUUUUGCUAGUAUAUAACCCUUCUUUGCUUCUUUGAAACUACAUGUCAAUUGAAAAACAAAUUGAAAAAUAUGUUUGGGUAGUUGAAAUAAAUUACCGUUCCCGAUUGCUGCAAUUUCAUAGCUUGUGGAAUCCAACCAACCCUUUGUUAUAUAGAGGUAUAUCUACCUUUUCUUUCCUUCUUUCUUGUUUUAAUUUCAUGUCUUUACUCAUAACAAUAAUUUGAAAGCUUCAUGUUCAGAUAGACAUCAUUGAUGAGUUUAUUGAGUUAAUUCCUUGUAUGUCUUCUAGAACAAGAUCAUUCUAUUUUAGAAUGCCGAAAGAAAAACGCAAACAAUCCAAAGAUGAAGAAAAUGAUUCAUCCUCGCGAAAGAGAAGAAAAGCUGACCUCAGUAAGCGUUUUAAAUGCUAUUGUUUUAUGCUCUCUGGCUUUUAAACUUGAAGUAUUAAGUGAAACUCAAUGAAUGAAUGAUUUUCUUACCUUACUCUCUAAGAGUAAUUGCGUUGAAAUUCCUACUCAGCACAUUCAUAUAUUUGUAUUGUCUUUGAUGAUCACUUCACAUGUAUCCCUUACUAGUUAUAAUUGCAAGAUAGCAGAUACCUCCUGCAAUCCUUCAUUGCUAAUUAAUUAAUCGUGCCUUAAUUUCUGCAGCUGCCAUGACAGAGCCAGAUUCUUCUCGAUCUAGACCACAAGGGGCCUAUGAUGUCUUUUUGAGUUUUAGGGAGAAGAUACUCGCAAGACAUUUACAGAUCAUCUAUAUACUGCCUUAGUCCAAGCAGGAAUCCACACUUUUCGAGAUGAUGAUGAACUUCCUAGAGGAGAAGAAAUCUCCGAUCAUCUCCUCAAGGCAAUUCGAGAAUCAAAGAUAAUAGUGGUCUUCUCAAAAGGAUAUGCUUCUUCUAGAUGGUGUCUCAAUGAACUUGUGGAGAUUCUCAAGUGCGAAAGAGGAAAACUGGUCAGAUUGCUCUUCCUAUAUUCUAUGACAUUGAUCCUUCAGAUGUGAGAAAACAGACUGGCAGUUUUGCUGAAGCAUUUGUUAAGCAUGAAGAACGUUCUAAAGAGAAGGUGAAGGAGUGGGGAGAAGCUCUUGAGGAGGCAGGAAAUCUAUCUGGAUGGAAUCUCAAAGAUAUGGCAAAUGGGUAUGCCUUUUCUCUAUAAGAUUCACUUCCACACAAUUAUAUAUGGAGUCAUUAUACAUUACCUAUUUUACAAUGUGAAACAAUAAAAUACUUUUUGAACACACUUAAUUGUCUCGCUAUUAAUGACUUGCUUUUGUCUAUGAACAGGCAUGAGGCAAAAUUUAUCCAAGAGAUUAUCAAGGAUGUGUGACUAAAUUGGACCCCAAGUACUUAUAUGUUCCUAAGCACCUAGUAGGUAUUGAUCCGCUUGCUCACAAUAUUUUUCACUUCCUAAGUACAGCAACAGAUGAUGUACACAUUGUGGGCUUACAUGGGAUGCCAGGAAUAGGAAAGACGACUAUAGCAAAAGUUGUGUUUAAUCAACUCUGCUAUGACUGUGGAUAUGGAUUCGAGGGAAGCUCAUUUCUUUUGAAUGUCAAAGAAAAAUCUAAGAUAUGGUUCUUUUACAACAACAACUACUUCAUGAUAUUUUAAGACAAAAUUGAGAAGAUCAAUAAUGUUGAUAGAGGAAAGGUUCUGAUUAAAGAACGACUCUGGCGCAAAAGAGUUCUUGUCGUUGUUGAUGAUGUGGAUCAUCUGGACCAAUUAAAUGCUUUGAUGGGAGAGCGAAGCUGGUUUGGUCGUGGAAGCAGGGUAAUAAUUACAACUAGAGAUGAACGCUUACUUCUUGAAGCUGAUCAAAGAUACCGGGUUCAAGAACUGAACCAAUGAGUCCCUUCAACUUUUCUGUCAGCAUGCGUUUAGGGAUACCAAGCCAGCAAAAGAUUAUGCUAAGCUUUCGAAUGAUGUAGUUGAAUACUGUGGAGGACUUCCUUUAGCUCUUGAGGUUUUAGGUUCUUGCUUGUUUGGGAAAAACCAAGCUAGAUGGGGAUCUGUAAUUGACAGAUUGAGAAGAAUUCCAGAGCAUGCUAUUCAAGAAAGGCUUAGAAUAAGUUUUGACUCACUGAAAGCCCCUAAACUAAAGAAUACAUUUCUUGAUAUUGCAUGCUUCUUUAUUGGUGGACAGAAAGAAUACGUAGCAGAAGUGCUAGAAGGACGUUAUGGUUGCAAUCCAGAAGAUGAUUUCGGAACUCUCAUUGAAAGGUCUCUGAUUAAAGUUGAUUAUUCUGGAACGAUAAGCAUGCAUGAUCUAUUACGAGAGAUGGGAAGGGGGAUCGUUAAGGAUGAGUCACCUGAAAAUCCUGCACAAAGGAGCAGAAUUUGGUGUCAAGAGGAUGCGUGGAAAGUACUCAAGAUGCAGAUGGUAAGAACUCAAUGCAUACAGAAAAGCACAUUCAUUUGUAUCUUUAUUAUCAAACUUAUUACAAACAAUCAUUUGAAAGUUCUAUUGAUUUUUUCCUUUUGCUUUCUUAGGGAACAAAAGUUGUACAGGGCCUUACAAUGGAUGUGAGAAGAUCGGAAGAGAAAUCACUAAGCACAGGAUCAUUUGCAAAAAUGAAAUUCUUAAAAUUACUGCAAAUCAAUGGAGCAGAUCUCACCGGAUCUUUCGAAUGCUUUCGAAAGUAUUGACGUGGAUUUGUUGGCUUGAAUGUCCUUUGAGAUGUUUGCCAUCCGAUUUUUCACUGGACUACGUAGUUGUUAUUGAUAUGAAGUACAGUAACAUCAGAGAACUAUGGAAGGAAAAAAAGGUGCCAAACACACCAAAAUGCCCCAAAACUUGUCUAUUAUGUAAUUUAUAUUUACAUGUUACAAUUUUUGAUGAUUACUUUUUAAUUAUUUUCUUCAUUGCUCUUGUAGAUUCUCAACAAUCUAAAAAUCCUUGAUCUCAGUUAUUCAUGUAACCUUGUUAAAACACCAAACUUGUACAGUUCAAGUUUAGAGAAGCUACUGCUUGAAGGUUGCUCAAGUUUAGUUGAGGUACAUCAAUCUAUUGGACAUUCAAAGUCUCUUGUAUGUUUGAACAUUUCGGGGUGUUCACAACUCAAGGAGUUGCCGGAGUGCAUGGGUGAUAUUGAGUCCUUGACUGAGCUUCUAGUAGAUGGAAUUAACAACGAGCAAUUUGUCUCUUUAAUUGGACAUAUGAAGUGUGUGAGGAAGUUGUCAUGGUGCGGACACUGGGACUGGAAGUGCAACUUACCGUAUCGGCCUUCACCAAAUUCUUCUUGGAUUUCAGCUUUUCUGCUAGCUCCAACUACCACUAUUUGGAGAGUAUUGGGAAAGCUAAAACUUGUUAAUUAUGGUUUGUCUGAACGUGCAACUAAUGCUGUAGAUUUUGGAGGUUUGUCCUCUCUCGAAGAGUUGGAUCUAUCAAGAAACAAGUUCUUCAGUCUGCCUUCUGGCAUCGGUAUCCUUUCUAAGCUGCAUCUUUUGAGGGUUGCGCUUUGUAGCAAUCUUGUAUCAAUCCCAGAGCUUCCCUCAAAUUUAGAACAUUUGGAUGCAUAUGGUUGCGAAUCAAUGCAAUGGGUAAGACUACCAAUCCAAGCAAAAAAAUAUCUAAAUCUGGAUCUGUUUUGUUGUCCGGAUUUAAUAGAGAUUGAAGGCAUGGAAGGUCUAAGUAAUCAUGGCUGGAUUAUUCGCUCUGUUCCUGACUACAAGUCAUCAAAUAAUUGUAAGAGAAGUCUUGUUGAGGUACUAUUUUAGUCUCUCUUGCACACAAUUGGCACACACUAAAUUUUCAUUAAUUAAUGUCUAAUAUUCAGCAUUCCUUGAAAUCAAUAUAUAUAUAUAUAUAUAUACAGGCAUUGUGCUACGGUGGUUAUGGGUAUCAACUUCUCUUCAAUCGUUGCUAUACGUUCAGCCACAGAGACAGGUUCACUAUGAUUCCAAAUUGGUUUAGCUACAGAGGAAAAGGAAGUUCAUUAUCAUUUCGUACACCUCCAGUUUUCCAAGGCUUGGUCGUUGGGGUUGUCUGUCAACGUUUGACAGGUCUUAUUUGUGCCGCCAAAUUGUGUAUAAAAAAUAAAAGCAACGGCAUUCAAUUGUUUGAAGCAUACGUAUGCGAUCCGGUCGUUAGAAAUUUGAUGAGAUACAUAAGUCUAAGCGAGAUGGCAAUGAAAGAACAUUGUGAAGAUGAGGAAUUGGUACUGUACGUGGAACUUUAUAUGGGAGAAUACGCUGGAGUGUUUGAAUGUGGGAUCCAUGUGAUAGUUGAAAAGACAGAUUCAUUUGAAGGGUCAGAGUGGGAUCACGAGUCUGAAGUUGGAAGAGAUGGAGGAAUACCUGCACCACCAUAUCUGCCUCAAUAUCUGCUGUACAAUUUCAUUGAGAUUGACGGCAAGCAAGGUCUGAGUAAUUUAUCAAAAAAUACCAAGGAUCGGCUUCUUCAGGUAUUGUUUCUGUCUCUCAAACUCUCUCUAGCUCACAAAUAAACACACAAUUGGCGCGCGCGCAUAUAUAUAUAUAUAUAUCAGUGUAUAAAAUCUCAGCAUUCCUUAAAUUCAAUAUUUAUGCAGAGAAUCUUCGAUUAUCAUUAUUUUAGACCCUUCGAUUAUUCUAUGAUUCCAAAUUGGUUCAGCUACUGUGGAGAAGGGAGUUCAUUAUCAUUUCAUAUACCUCCAGUUUUCGAAGGCUUGGUCAUUUGGGCUGUCUGUUCAGGUGGUGGGCAUCAAGAAUUCAAGGCUAUUCUAAAAAAUAAAAGAGACGGUAUUCCAUUGUUCGAAGCCACACAUGCAAGACCCUAUUUCAGUGGUAGGUGGCUAAGACUCAUAAGUAAGUAGACGUGAGAUGGAAAUGGAAAAAUAUUGUGAAGAUGAUGAAUUGGAACUACAUGUGAUAUUGAGGUCCGAAAACAGUGAAGUGGUACGAUGUGGGAUCCAUGUGAUAGAGACAUUUCCAUUUGAACCGAGCAGCUACGAUCAAAUUCCAGCGUUGGAUCCUGACAUUUACGACCAUGAGUCUUUUGAAGGUUCAGAGGGGGAUCAUGACAUUGACUACUAUGAGACUCCAUUUGAAGGAUCAGGGUCGUCGGAUCAUGAGAUUGACAACCAAGAGUCCGAAGUUGAAAGCGAUAGAACGAUACCUUCACCACCAUAUCAUCUGCUUCAUCAUCCCCGUCAUGGUUCAAUGAGAUUUUCUACAAGGCAGCAGUGGAAAGCUUUUUUGAUUCGUGCGUUCAGCCUAUGGAAAAGCUUGGACAUGCAAAAGUUCUCACCUCAUGAUCUCAAUUAGGCGAAGGAUUGGUUUAAGAAAACUCCCCACUUUAUGCCCACUUAGCUAUGAUAUUAUCAUCUUGUUGUGUAUGAUCACUAAAUAAAUAUAGUAUUUUUUUUAGGUAGCAAAAUCAUCUUGUUGUGUAUGAUCAUCUUGUUGUAGGCUUUAUAUAUAUAAAUUAAAAUGAAUAAUAAAUCAAUCAAUUCAAAAUUAGACCUUCUUUUUAAUUUAAAGUCUUGUUUCUUGUCACCCAUCAUGUCUUAUACAAGUUAUAAGAUUUUUUAUAGAUAAAUCAUAAUGUUAUAAACUUGUUUAAAAGAUUGAUAUUUAGAUAUAAACACAUAGUAAAUAGUGAAUUAGACUUCAGAAUAUUAUUUGUUACUCUUAUUCAUAAAAAUAUCUUAAUGUAAUAAAAAAUUUCAAAAUUUUAUCCCAUAAUAGAUAAAUUUUCAUUUGUUAGGAAGAGUACAAUUUUUAUUGAUAUUCUUGAUAUUUUGAUUUUUUUUCUCAGCCCUGCUAAUAUUAAAAUGAAACACAAGCUAGCAUCAAAAUCAAUGAAUGAAUACAAAAUGAGUGAUGUUUUAAUGUAACUUUUUUCUGUAUAUAUCGAUUAGCUGAGCAUAUCAUGUAACAGCAACACAGCUUUCGGCUGAGAGGCUCGUCAGUCUGCUAAAUUUGAGAAUGUUAGCUGACGAUAGAGUAGAGCCUCCUCGUCAUCAUCAUCGAAAUCAAUGCUCUCAUUGAUUCCAUUCUUGAUGUCUAUUUCGGUUCUUUCCUCUCCAUCCAGUCCGUUUGUUUCUGAAACAUUCAAUCGAGUGUGUUCUUCCCUCAAAGGAGAAUCAUCUGCCUCUAAUUGUUGCAUUUCUAAUUCUAUCAAAGCAGUCAUCCUUGCCCUCUCCCGGUCUCUUGGGUACGUGCAAUAGAGGAAGGAGUAGAUGAAGCAACAUAAUGCCAUUGGAAUGCCAAUUGCUGUGUAGAGUGCCUUUGCAAGCGAUGCAGCAUUUUCUCGGUCUGUUAUCACCUUGACAUUGUCUAAUGAUUUUUUGGGAGUUUUAUAACCAUAAACAUGCUGAGCCAAGAUCCCUACUGUAGGGGGAGCAAAUGAAGAAAGCACAGAUUCAAAUGAUCGAUCCAAAGCAUAGACGCUCGCUCGGGACUUCUGUGGGACUAUCUCUGCAAAUAUUGGACUAUAACACCAGUUAUACAUAUAGUAUAAUACAAAUUAGACGUGGGAAUAUAUACUCUUAACUUCAUUAUCUAAUGCUUCAAGGGAAGUAGGAAACCGACCAGUCCCCAUGACUUCACAUCACAUGAACAAUACCAAGUAGUUUGUGCAGCAGCGGAAGACAUGCUACUGGACGCAACAUUAGGGGUUUGAAUGCUUAAAGAGAUAUUUGUCAUCAAGAUCCAGAUCAUAAUUCUUUGCAGUUCUUAGCCAUAUAAGAAUAUAUAGUUCUUUAUUUUAAUGACGAUUGUAUGCACAACAGAAAAACAUAAAAUCAAGACGUGGAAAAACUAGUUGACGAUUGCGCUAGACAGCUCCAUUAAAUACAUCUUUUCUUCUAUUAAUAAUAUCAGCAGUGUGUAAUUUAUAGAUGGGCUGUCGAAACCAUGACAGAGAAUUGAGUAGUUAAUUCUAAGCAGUUUAAACCUGACUACCCAAGGUGGUGAUGAGAAAAGGCUAAGGUUAUAUAAUGGAAUUGGGUUUCUGAAAAUUAAAUAACAUCUUCACAAGUUUGUAUUAUCAAAUGCUAAUUGCAAACUGGAUAUCUUCACGAGUUUGUAUUAUCAAAUGCUAAUUGCAAACUGGAUUUUUAUAUCUACCGAUCUACAGUCGUGGCCUCUAGAACGUAUUAGUUAAAAUCAUAACUAUUCUCCGUAAGCAUUGAUGCCAUAUUGACUAGAAAAAUAUGGCAAAAUUCAAAAAGAAUUUCCGAGGUGUCAAACUAGUAUUUUGACGAAAACAUACAUAACUUUUAAUUCAAUCCUUGAAUAUUACUCAUAUCUUGUCAAAAUAUUCCACAAGCCUAAGCCCAAUUCUAUAAAGAAUCAACUUGAUGUAACUAGCUGAACGAGAAAGCCCUUAAAUUAGACUUACAAGAAUUUUUUUUUCAUCAUCAUCGUCAUCCUAGUUAUUUUCAGAUUCUUUUCAUAAUUAGGCUACAUAAUUUUACUAUGUAUAGGUUUAUUUAACUAGGUUGAUUCCAAACAUCAUUUAAAUAGUUUGUAUGUAAUUUUUAAGAAGAUAUUAUUAUUAUUAUUGUUAUUGUUGAAUUCAUAACUUAUCAAAACAAACUUCUUUACGAAGAAAUGAAAGUUUGACUAGGGAGAGAAGGUUGAAAAAAACUUUGUUUCAAUUUUAACACUUUUAAAUUUUGACAAACUAUUUGAGGUUGAAUGUGAUGUUUAUGGUGUAGGAAUUAUAAUUAUAUUGUUUCAAGAGAGAAAGAGACUUAUGACAUUCUUUAGUAAAAAAUUAAGUCGUGCUAGAUUAAAGUGGUUCACAUGCAAUAAAGAAUUCUAAACUACUUUUAGGACUCUGAGGAAAUGGGAGCAUUACAUGAUAAGCAAGGGAUUUGUGCUCUAUUAUGUGAUCAUGAGGCAUUGAAAUUCCCAUAUAAAUAUAAUUGAAUUAGUAAUUAUAUGCAUGUGAGAUGCAUGAUUUACUUACAACAGUUCCCAAUCAGAAUCUAGAGUCCAAAAUAAGGUUGUCAAUGCUUUGAGUAGAAAGAUAACCUUGUUAGUUAACUUAAGAUGAGAGAUUAUUAGAUUUGAUUGUUUGAAAUAAUACUAGAUUUCAAUUAUAACCUUGGACUUUGACUUAUUUGAAACCAUGUUUGUGCAGAUAUCUUAUUUCAAUACCAUGUUAUCAGUUGAUUGUAACCCUCUAGGAUGAAAAAAGCAAAUGCUGUUGGCAGUCGAACAUGAAAAUCAAGGGAGAUGAUGAGUUGAAGUGCAUACUUGUUUGUAGCUGGACCAUUCCAGGAUACGCAAAAUCCCAUGAUGAACAAGACCAGACCGUGGAUGAAUGUUGUGGAUGGAUCAUCAGGCAAUACAAGAAGCAAAACUGCUGCCAAUGGUAUGGCUGAACCAGAGCUUAUCUGUGACAGAAAUAUCCUCCCAGAAUUGGGGAAGCGUUUAGCUAGGACAUCCCCCAUCUUUCCUCCAAACAGGCCACCAAGUGAGCCAGCAACUACAAAAAGAGUCAUGAGAACUGCUGUUUUUUCAUGGGAGAAGCCAAUGAGCUCCAACCACAUAGGAGCGAAUGAUAAAGCUGACCAAGGAAAGGAUCCAGAUACACCUUGAGCCACAAUUAUUUGGAAUGAUGGAAUUUUUAUAACUGACUUUGCUUCUUUCAUCAGGUACUUCACCUCUGAGACAAAAGACUUGGGAGAUUGGUCUUUAGCUCUGCUAUUAGUAUCAGAAAAGCGUGGAUCGUUAGCAAAAAGGCGGACCAUAAUACCAACAAUUACACUAAUUAUUCCAACCAGAUGAAAAGCAACUCUCCAGCCAGGUAUUCCCAUGAAUGUUCUUGAGGCUAUUAGAACUGAAGAGAGCCCUCCGAUGAUGGAACCAAGGUUUCCUGUCAGCUGUAGCCAUCCAAAUGCCAUGCCGCGAUUGCUUUCAUCAGUUGAAUCAGCGACAAGGGACUGAAUGGCAGGUGUGACUAUGGCCAGUCCAAUCCCAUUUAGACCUCUUGAAACCGCUACCUGAUAACCAAAUGUGAGAACAUUAAAUUAGGCAAGAGGUCAUGCCAUGAAAAGCAGGAGUUCUUCUUUUAUGAUUAUCCAUCCAGGAGACUCAAACCACCAAAAAUAGCAUUUUCAAAGUUUUUCCUCAAGAGUGUUUUUUCUUGCUUCUUCCAAGUUCAGUUACAAAGUAUACAACUUACCGAAAAGAUUCCUGAUAAAAGUAUCCAAUUUAACCACAAGGACUCGCUUUUCAAACCAGAAAAUUGUUCAGCUUACCUUCAUAGUCUUCUUAUAUCUGCAUAACAAAUGAAAGAAUGCAACAUAACACUUCAACAUCUCUAAUAAGGACUUGAAAACUAUGACUACUUCAUUUUUAUUUCAUCGAGAACUUUCUCCAACAAAUGCUUCUUGAUGCCAAUCAUAUUAUUCAUACCAAAAUUCUAGUCGUAAUAAUGAAGGUCUUGAACAAGAACUGUAAUAAUACUUCUGACUAGCUUCCUUCACUACAUUUCUCACACAAAAUAGCAUUUUUACUAGUCUAAUAUCAGUAUUCGUAGAACCAUACCCAUGAUUGAAUCCCAAUUUCAACACUGCUCAAGAAAUUUCUUAAUCCAGGUCAUUACUCACCUUAAGAUAGGACAGUCAUGGUGUAAGUUGACCCUGAAAUCUAUGGCUGGUGUUGAACCUGCAAUCUAUGGCUGGUGUUGAACCUGCAAUCUAUGGCUGGUGUUGAACCUGCAAUCUAUGGCUGGUGUUGUGGUAAUAGCCCAAUAGCCAUAUUUAUUCAUCAAAGGUUUGAACUAGUGUAAAAGAAGAAUGACAUCCAUGGAAAACAAACCCAAUUUCCUCAUUUUAUUUGGAAAAAUCCUAUAUUCCUAGUGAUAUAGCAAUUAAAUGGACUAAUCCAGGCAGCCCAGCAAUUCACAUAUUCAACUAUUCUUCUGCAAAGUAUAACAAACCAGCCUCACCAAGAAAUUCAUUAGCACCUAUCAAUAGAUCCUCUAAUAAAAUCAUGAAAAAUAACCCAAAAUGAAGAAUCUGUAACAGAGACCGCACCGACAAAACUAGAAAAAAAAGGGGGGCAUUCAAAUUUACAACAAAGACUAAAGCUUCAAAUCUACGACAACUUACAAAUCUUGAAAAAAGAGAGAAACAACACAAAUAGAGGGACUCAGAGUCUCAAACCUCUAAGAAAGUAGAAGAAAAGGCAACGAGGAAAGUGGCGGCAGCCCAAAGAAAAGCACCAAGAGCAAUAACAUGGGCACGAUUAUGAUGCACAGCAAGGUAUGCAGCUAGUGGAUAGCAAGAAGACUGAACAAUGGAUCGAAACAAAGUUAAUGAACCCAAACCAGUGGGGUCCGUAUGUAAAGCUGCACCAACUUCUUUGUACACUCCUGGUAACAACGACUCAUCAGCUCUCUCCAUAAUCCCUGCUAGAUUCACUAGCACUAAUGUCAGAGUCUCUUGUUUCAUCGUUGAAGUUUCUCUGAAAUCAGAGUCCUCUGUAUUUUGGAACCGAAGAAAACAGAGGAUCCUCUGUUUAGAGAGAAAGAAGAGUUGACUUUGUGGAUUGAUAAUUUGAUACAGGGGGGGAUUUGAUCUCUGAAGUAUCGAGUUAUUUCAUUUCUAUUAAAGGAAAAAAAGGACCGGAGGAGAGCAGAACCCACCAAUCGGAAUUCAUAGGUCGAGACAAGAAUUUUGGGAUCCUACGUGGAAUCAUUCUAGAAAAUCCAUGUCUGAUAGCCACUCGAGCGUUAUUACCAUUUUUGCCUUAGUUAUAUCCCUUUUCCUCAAUUCUAUAUUGGAUAUUUUUAUGCCUUUUUUUCUUUAUUUCCCUCUUGAUCUGAUCUUCAAUGUUUAUCAGAAAUUAAAUUUUAAUUAAGCAUUUUCAAAGAAAAGCAUAUGUGAUUCUUGAUCUUGAACCGUGUUGAAUUCUGGAAACCCAAAACUUUCAUCAGAGAUCAUCACAUAGGAUGAGAGGACGAAUAGAAUUCUCACAGGUAAUGUCGUGCGCCGCCUAAUAAAAUUCAAAGCAGUGGUUGUUUACUUGUUUGCCGUUUGACGAUUUCGUCGACGUUCGAGACUAUAUUCUUGUAUUUAAAUAAGAUUUCAACUUUCUCAUAAAGAUGGUCUUAAUUUGGUACAUUUCCAGUCAACAAAAUUCCAAUUAAUUUAUAAUAGAACUGUUUUAGAUACUGUUUAUUUUUUUAGUUUUAGUUUUUAGUUAUAAGUUAAUUUUUUUUGUAUUUUUAAAUCAUCUUAAUAUCUUAAUAUCAAUAAUAAAUUUUUAAAAAAUUAAAUAAUAUUAUUUUAAUACAUUUUAAAAUAAAAAAUACUUUAAAAAAUAACUUUACUCAUAAUUCUCCAUGACUUUAGGCUUAGAACCAAGAAACUUGUAAAUAGAAAGAUUCACAAAUAAAGGAUGAAGAGAAGCUUUCAAAAGAUAGAUAUAGAAUCUGCUGAGUUACUCGAGCCUGAAAACUUGUAGCGCUCAAAUAAUAAUAAACAUGAUCACAAAAGAGAGUUUCCCUUGAUCAUGUAAACUUUAAUGGCUUUUUUAUUAAUUGAAAUAUUUGUUGUUUAAAAUGUUUUUUUAAAAUACAUUAAAUUAAUAUUUUUUUAUUUUUAAAAUUUUAUUUUUAACAUUAAUAUAUAAAAAUUAUCUACAGAUAUCAAAAAAAUUAAUUCAAAAAGUAAAAUUCAAAAUUUACUAAAACUCAGUGCAAAUAAAUCCUCAAACAGGCACUAAAUACCACUAAUCGUACCAGUCUCCUAAUCUGAGGAUGUUAGUUUACUUGAAAGCAGAGCCUUGUCGUCGCUAUCAUCAUCGAAAUCCAACUUAUCGUUUUUUCCAUUUUCUACAUCAGUUUCUGCUGUUUCCUUUCCAUCAAGCCCUUUUGAUUCUGAAAGAUGCAGCUGAGAGUAUUCUUCUCCGAAAGGAGAAUCCUGAGCCUCUACUAGUUGCAUUUCUGAUUCUAUCAACGCAUUCAUCUUUGCGCGCUCCCGGUCUCUAGGAUACGACCAGUAGAGGAAGGAGUAGAUGAAAACACAUAUUGACAUUGGAAUGACAAAUGACAUGAAGAGUGCCUUGGCAAGUGAUUCAGCAUUUUCUCUAUCUGUUUCAACUUUGACAGAAUCCGAUGAUGUUUUGGGAACUUUGUAGCCAUACAAGCGCUGAGCCAAAAUGCCAACUAUUGGGGGAGCAAAAGAAGACAGUACGGACUCAAAUGAGUUGUCCAAAGCAUAGAUUGUUGUUCGAGAUCUCUCUGGCACUAUCUCUGCAAAUAUUGGACUGUGCAAAUAUAUGUCAGACAAUUCAGAUGCAUUAAACAUAGUUUCUGUUUGUAAUAUCGUUACUUUAUGCAUCGAACUAGUAGGGAACUAGAUUGGCCAUCAAUGGUACUUCACAGCAUGCUGUAUUGCACUUUAAAAAACAUAAGGCCAGCAUAAUCCCUGACGCUUGCAAAUACCAAGCUUUGAGAUUAAUGUUUACACGAGGGUCCUUUUCAAGCUAUCAAAGUUUUCUACAAGUUUUAGGAAAAAAUUUAUAAUCUUAAUCUAAUGAAGGUGAAGGAAGAUUUACGUUAAAUAUCAUUUUGCAAGAAAUUGGGAGAUCCUUUGGCUAAAGCUGCUUUGGGGUAAGCAACCUAGUCCACUGCGAAGAUAUGUGUUGUGGUUUGUGACUGGUCAUCUUUUAUAGUAACGGUUGUCCUGUUUCAACAGCAACUAACAGUUGAUGACAACUCCCUCGUGUGCAUGUUAUGUGUACUACUUAGAUGGAUCAAUGAGAAGCUUCUAUGAUUUUGAUUCUCCUCAUUUUACACCCCUUCAAAUCCCAAGGCAAGAAAGCCAAAGAAAAAGAAAAGAAAAAGAAAAAUUCUUUAAGUGAAAUAGGAAUACAUACUUGUUUGUAGCUGGAGCAUUCCAGGAUGUGCAGAGUCCCAUGGUGAAAAAGACCAGACCAUGCAUGAAUGCUGUUGAUGGAUCAUAUGGCAACACCAGAAGCAAAAUCCCUGCUAAAGGAAUGCUUGAACCAGCACUUAUCUGUGAUAGCAUUAUUCUCCCAGAAUUAGGCAAGCGUUUGGCAAGGAUAUCCCCCAUUCUUCCUCCAAACAGACUACCGAAUGAACCACCGAUUACAAAAAUGUUCAGGAGGGAUGCUGUUUGUUUAUGAGAGAAUCCAAUAAGCUCUAACCACAUAGGAGCGAAUGAUAAACCUGACCAAGGAAAUGUUCCAGAGACACCUUGAGCAACAAGUAUUUGGAAGGUUGGUAUUUUUACAACUGACUUCGCAUCUUUGAUCAGGUCCUUGAACUCUGAAAUAAAAGUCUGAGGAGUUUUAUCUUUAGCUCUACCAUCAGCAUCGGAGAAGUGUGGAUCCUUGGCAAAGAGAUAGACCAAAACACCAACUAUUACACUUAUUAUUCCAACCAAAUGGAAAGAAACUCUCCAACCAGCUAUCCCCAUGAACGAUGUUGUGGCUAGUAGUACCGAGCAGAGAUUUCCAAUGAUGGAGCCAAGGUUUCCUGUUAGCUGGAGCCAUCCAAAUGCCAUACCGCGAUUGCUUUCAUCAGUCGAAUCAGCAACCAGAGACAGAAUGGCAGGCAUGACUAUGGCAAGUCCGAUCCCAUUUAGACCUCUUGAAAUUGCCACCUAAUUAAUUGAUCAGAUGCAAAAUUAAGGACUAGACGUGCAAAGAAAUACAUGAGUUAUCUAACACUGCUAUUUGCACAGAGUAAAAAGCACCAAUCUCCUUAAAGAGUUUGCAACGAAUUCAGCUCUUUCUCAUCAAAUUCUCCAAUAAGCACCAUCAUUUUGAACUUGUAUUAAUUAUCCAUUCCUUCUAAUAACAGCGUGGCUCAACAAAAGAGUUCAUAGCACUUCAGAUUUCUAUGUACUGCUAUCAAACAUGAAUCUAUUGCAAUCUCAAUAGAGCCACCAAAUUAACCAUUUGGGAUUAUGUGUGACCCAUCAAAUGAUUUGUCCACUUUCCAACAUUCUAGGAAGUGCUGAUAGGUUCUGAUCCUCUGUUGAUAAAAGCCUUUACGUAGAGUGAAAAUAUCGUACUGUGGCAUUCCUUUAUUGCAAUAAUUGUACAAAUCCAAUGUCCUAAAAAAAUAUCACGAGAUGCUAGCAAGUGAUGCAACAAGAAAGAGUCUCCGAAUCUAAAUGCUACAUCGUUUUUCCAAACAAGCACGUAAGAUUUCACCUAAGAAUCGCAAAAUGGGUUUCUUCUCAUGUAACCAUAAAAGCACACAAAAAUGGGUUUCUUAGAAUCGCAACUAAGAUAUCCAGAACAACUUUAAAAUGUCACUCAAAAAAGAAAGAUAAAAGAGCCAAAUAAAAAUCUCCACAUAAAGAGAUAGAGAGAGAUCAAGAGGAACCUGUAAAAAAGUAGAGGAUAUGGCAACAAGGAAGGUGGCAGCAGCCCAAAGUAAAGCACCAAGAGCAAUGACAUGGGCGCGAUUAUGAUGCACAGCAAGGUAAGCUGCUAAUGGGUAGCAAGAAGACUGAACUACUGAUCUAAACAAAGUGAGUGAACCCAGCCCGGUUGGGUCUGUAUGUAGAGCUGCACCCACUUCUUUAUACACUCCUGGCAACAAAGACUCAUCAGCUCUCUGCAUAAUCCCCGCAAAAUUCACCAGUACCAAUGUGAGUGUCUCUUGUUUCAUUUUCGAAGUCUUUAUCAAAGCAAGAUCCUCUAUUUUAUUUCCAAAAACAGACCAUCCGAUGUCUCCUUUUCCCCUUUUAGCAAGUACUAUGAGAAAAAAAGGGACAUGACCAUGUAGCCCUAUGAUUGACCAGACAGCAGCUGGGAUUUUCGGACAUAUAACAGCAAACUUCCCAUGAAGUCUGUUGUGGAAAAGAGCUUCUGUGAUGUUGAGCAACUUGGUCGUUGCUAGCUGUAGGUGUGAUGUAGUGCAAGGGUUGUGCACAGGUUGUAAUAUUAAAACAAUCAGAUCUAUCGAGUGAAUCCAAAGACAAACAACAAGUUGUGCAUGUGCUUUAAAGGGCGUGCACAAGCUGCAUAUUAGUUUAAGUUGCUUGUGUUAUGGGGAAGAGACAUCAUGUCAUUAUAAAAACAUUCAAUCUGUUUUGUAUAGCUGGCCUCUUGAUUUUAUAAAUGGAGUCGUGGAUGCCUCCCCUAUUUCUUGGAGGAAAAUUUCUUCGAUUUGUGACGAUAUUUCAUCGGAUUUAUCAUAUAUUCAUCGUAUUUCAUCAAUUCGAUGUAGCUAGACUGGAUUAUAAAUGGACCAUGCUGAAUUUUCACCCUACAGACAGAGACUAUAUUGAUUACAAUCCAAUCAAAUUCUGCAGUCUUUCUUAGUGGCUCCGAGAGGGAAGGACGAGAAUAGGAGUGGGAGACAGUCUAUAUUGUUUAAGAGCAGGACUCGUACCAAACUCGAGUGGAAAGCACAGCCAAAAUUGAUGUCGUCUUCAACUGCUAUUCUUUAUCUUUUGAGAAAAUAGAGAUUAAGAAAUUGUUGCUUUCAUCUACAAAUUUAAUUACUUUUUAAUGAGCGUCACAUACCUACCUCGCUUGUAUGCUUUAAGAUACUUUAAAAAAAGAAAAUGAAGUCAUAUUGAGGCAAGUUAUUUAAUCUUUUCUUAUUCGGUGGUAGAAGAAGAUAAUUUACUAAAUCGACCAUGAAAAAAUUAAUUCAUCAGAAUUUAAAUUUGUUUCUUAAUAAUUAUAAAUUUGAGUUCUUUCAGAGUUACUAAAAGCUUAUAUAAUUAUUAAUUUUAAAUUUUAUAGAAUUUAUUAAAAUAUAUAUAAGUUGAUUCAAAAUUUCAUAUUAAUUAAAUAAAUAAAAAAAAAAGCGGUGGGCUAUGAAUCCUUCUUUGUACUGGGAAGCAGAGCCACGGUUGUAAUUGAUGGUAUAUAAAAAAUUUUCAUGCCUUGCCGCUUGGGCCACAUGGCCCAAAUAACAACACUUUUGCUGCUUUUCAUUUUUCUUUAACCCGUCCAGUGUAUUUUUUCAAUUUUGAGAAGAUAGAAUGCGCCUUGCCUACAUAUACAAUAUAUUGUAUAAUUAAUAUAUUUUAUUUUUUUCACAAAUUAUUUGCAAAAUACAAAUUUUUAGGCAGGUGGAGUGCCAUAUUGUCUUACAAAUAAUCUUAAUGCUACCGCUGACUUUUUUUUUUUAAUAGAUACUUUUUUUCUUGAUUAAUGAUAUUUUAAUUUUCAUGUAAUUUUCAAGAUUAACCACAUUAUCAAAAAUUUUAAAUAUCUUCGAUUAUUAAAUUAAGAAGAGAGGUCGACACAAGUUAAUAUUUCCUUAUACUUAAUACUUCACUUUCAUCCGUACACUUUUUUCCACUUCUCUCAUUUAAAUUAAUGGAUUUUUUUUUUCAAGCAAACUCCUAAUCAAGCCCAUAAAACUGAGAUACAAGCCCAUAAUCAAACCCACAUGUUCUGGCAAAGUAUCGCAAGCAUGGAAAUCCUAACAUUCUGUGUGAAGUUUUUUUGUUUUAUGAAUUUAUUUUUAAUAUAAGAAUUGAUUUUUUUUUAAAAUUUUGAUAUAACUUGUAAAUUUUAAAAUAUCUUCCUACAUAAUUGGUUUUUAAGACUCGAAGAAUGUUUUUUAGUGAUUUACCUUGAACAAAGAAAAGAAAUAAAAAUAUCAAAACUAGCAAAUAAAAAUAAAAUAAUAAUGGAUAAAUGAGUUCAUUCCCACUGUAGCUUUAGAAUUCGAGAGUCUUGAAACCGAUCGAUAAUUAUUUUCUCUUACAACUUACAAAUAUUAAUUUCUAAUUAAGAAUGAAUCCAAAUUAUAUACAUAGUGGGGGAGGUGAUCCAACGUAUAAAGUGGUUUGUUAUGUAUCAAAAUCUUUAAAGAUGAACAACAUAUAAGAUAAUAAUUAAAAUAUUUAAUUUUUAUUCAUCUAAAUCUUCACUGGUAAAAAAAACUAUUAUAAUCUCUUAUAUAGAAAGAAUUAGAAAACUCUAAUAAUGUUAAACAUGGAAAAUAAAUUAGAAAAAGUAUUUAUUUUAAAUAGAAAAAAAAUUAAAAAAGCAUAAUAAUAUUAAAUAAAAAACUAAAACAAUAUUUAUUUUUCUAAAAACAACUUGAAAGGGAGACAGAAUAUAUAGUGUUGAAUAUGAUGCCCAUUUUAAAAAAACACCUUAAGAAAUUUCAUAAGUUUAUGAUGAAUCUUUGUAUCACCGCCUAAAUUUGCUGUCAAGUUUCUUUUUAAAGACGUAGAGAUACUAGCUAGUUGGAUUAAAAAUAUAAUAAUAAUAAUAAUAAUUGCCUACAGAUUGAAUAAAUUCAACAUACUAGACAUAAAUCAAAAGCUCUAACAGAAAGAAAACAUAAUUAUUUUUUUUCAAAAUAUACUCUAAAACAAAAUGUACUUGGAAUUAAAAUCUUCUUUCAUUUUACAAAUUUCCGAAUUCAAAUCUUUCCUUUAUUAUAAACCUUUAAAACGUAAAGAUAUUUCUUGAGAAACCUAAUGGAUCCCGCAAUCAUUUCCCUUCCCUAUAUGGUUGCAGUUGACAUUAACGGUUGGUUUUUUAAUGUUUAUUUAUUUAUUAAUUAAUAUGAAUGUACAAGCUAGCUUGUAUGUAUCUCAAUUAAUUUUAAAAAUUUUAAAAUUAAUGAUUAUAUAAGCUUUUUAGUAAUUAUUAUAUUAACAAUAUUAGAGCUUGAAUUUAAUACCAUAGAAGAAAUAAAUUUAUUGAUCAUAAACUCUUAUUACUGGAUGAAUUACUAUACGGUUAUUUUUUGAUGUUUUACUUCUUAUUAUUGCUGGCAUGAUUUUUACUAUGCUUGAAGCUGGGAAAACGUGAUCUUGUUCUUGAGCAUUAAAGUUACUUGGAAAUGACUCGCCGAAAGUGUAGCCAGUCUUUGUAAUCACAUCUUUUCUUGAUUAUGCCGAGUAUUUUUCCAAUUCUACAAGUUAUUCUUCCCCUCCCUUUUUGCAAAAGUUAGCCGUUUUUUAUUCAAUAAAAUUGCUACUUGUCGUUUGAAUUACUAUAUCUUUCUGUCUAGUAAUUAUUCGCUUUUGUUUUGAUGGUUAGUGAUCAUGACAUUCAAAAUUCAAUCUAGAUACACAUUAUGAUUAAUUCCAUCCUUUUACUACAGUUAAAAUUAAAGGACAUGCUAGGACUCAGAUUUUUUUUUUUUUUUGGGGGGGGAGGGGGGUGGAGAUACAUUUCCUAGUGUAGUAAUUACAACCACCUCAAGUUAUCUCUAAAUCCCUGUACGAAAAGGCCUUGAAAUAGUCCUUGUCCUCUUAUAGACAAAGGCAAACCCCAAAUUAGUCACUAAACUAUUUGGCUAGUCUCAACCAAGUCCUGAAUAGAAUUUUUCAAGUCUUAAUCGUGUUCCCAAUUUAUAAAUUAUUCUCAACCAUGGCAUUCUAAUCACAUGAUAGUAUGCAUUUUUAAGCCCCUUCUAAACUACUAAUGUUUAAUGGAUUUAUCCAAAUUUAGUAUAUUGAAAACUUCCCAAAAACAUACCUUAAAUUUGAUUGAGUCCUUAAUCACAUGAAAGCGAUAGAAAAUGAAUUUUGUUGCAAGUUAAAACCUUUAAAUACUAAAAAUAUCAUAAUUAUUAGGGGUGUUCAAAAAAACCGACCAACCGAUUAAACCGAAAAAAAAUUAACCGAAAAAACCGAAUAAACCGAUUAAAAAAUUUAAAAAAUCACCCGGUCCGGUUCGGUUCCGGUUUAAAAAGGCUUAAACCGAUUAAACCGGACCAAACCAAACCGGUUUAAUUGAAUUUAAAAAAAAUAUAUAAAAAGAAACACUAAACCUAAUAAUAAAUUACCCCACCCCCACUAAACCUAAUAAUAAUAAAUUACCCCACCCCACCCCCACUAAACCUAAUAAUAAUAAAUUACUCCCCCCUCCCCAAAACUUUCCCGCCCCCUUCCCAAAACCUUUCCAGCUUUUUCCCAUUUUCCUUUCCCUUUUCCCAUUCUCCACACAUCCCUCCUUCCUUGCUCCACACAUCCGUCCCUCCUUGCUCUCUCUCCCCCCUUUCCCCGCUCUCUCCUUCCCUGCAUUCCCUGCUCUCCCCCUCCCUUUCCUUUUUCCAGUGGCCUUACCCUUCCCUUUCUCCCUCUCCCUCUCCCUCUCUUCUGUGCACAAUUUUUCUUUUAUUUAAUUGAUUUCGGUUUUUCUGGUUUCUAAGGCUAAAAAACCGACCCGAACCGAACAAAACAGGUUCGGUUUGAACCGGUUCUCGGUUCGGUUCGGGUUAUAUUAACAAGGAAUAGUAUUUUCCGGUUCGGUUGAAUUUUUAUGUUAAAACCGGACCGAACCGGACCAUGAACACCCCUAAUAAUUAUAGGAAGACUCUUAAAAUACUUAAUUUUAUUCAUUUACGUCUCAUUUGUUAAAAAACUAUUACAAUCAUUUAUAUAAAAAAAAAACUAGAAAAUUCUAAUAAUACCGAAUAGAAAAAAUAAAAUAGGAAAACUAUUAUCUUCAAUUGAGAAAAAAAAAUUACAAAAACAUAAUGAUACAACAUUAAAAUUAUUUAAUUAUGAAAAAUAUUUAUUUUCCCUUAAAAACCCCUUCAUCAAUUUUUCUAAGUUGCAAAGAACUCAUCCUCAAGUUUAGAUCCCGGUCAAAAAUCAUUUUUUACAAUGAACAUCCAUUUGUGUAUGGGUCACACCAUCAUGGAUCCAUAAUAUUUUUGUGCUGGCUUUUCCAUCAUAGAUCUCUAACAUAAAAUAUUUUAUGUGGGAUUCUCCAUCAUAGAUCUCUAGCCCAACAUCUUUGUACAUGUCACCUUAACACGAGCUUUACAACCAAAACUUUCAAUAAUAACAUUUGACGUCGAUGAAAACAACACCCUAAUUAUGAGAUGUCUUUUUUUCUAAAAAAAAACCUUCUUAUUCUCUUCUACACGAGCAUGUUAUGUUCUAUAAUCUCUUUCAAUUAAGUUAUUCAACAUCACACAAUAAGUAACUGUUAGAAAUCAAUAAGCUCUGAUACAUGUUUUCUAGAACCUCUAAUCAAAAUCACUUGGAAUGUUUGGUCUCUAAUACUAACUAUAGUUGAGGAGAGAAAAUGAUAUCAAGGUUUCUUACAAGUCAAGACCAUCAAAUAUCAAUAAUAUCAUAAUAUCAUGACUAUAUACAAAACCAAUAAGAAAAAAAAUAAUAUUAAUGGGAAAAAUAAAAUAUGAAAAUUGUUGUCUUUAAAUAAAUAAAUAAAAACUAGAAAAACAUGAUCAUAGAGAAUAAAAAAAAUCAAAUUAACUUAGAGAAAUAUUUAUUUUUUAAAAAAAACUCCUGCAUCAAUAUUGAACUCUUUAUUUUGUUUUGUAUAUGUCUCUUUUAUCAUAAUAUUAUUAGUUAAUACCUCUAUAUUCUUUUUUGAAACCCACAAUAACUCUUUCAUUUUGGUGAGAAUUAAAUGAUAAAUGGAAAUAGAACUAAUAAAGAAAACUAAACUAACCUAAUUAAUUAAAAUAAAAUAAAAGUCACAUUUUUUAUUAGUUAAUUUCAUAAAUGUAAAUGGAAAUGUUAUAAAUGUGUCACUAAUAGAUUUUUUGCUGGUGAGGUGCUCCGCUUUUGAAAAACAUGCAAUACAUGUUUUUCACGGGGCAUAUCUCUUAAACAAACAAACAUAUUCGAAGUCAUAUAAUAUAAUGAAAUAAAAAAACACAAUAAAAAUAGUUGUACUCAACAAAUAUGAAAAGAGGAGAAGGCUCAAACUGAAAAAAAUAAAAUUGAAAGGUAAUAUCCUAUGUUUUACUGAGCAUGUCCAUUCUAUUAAACCCGCGUUGAAAUGAUUUGAAGUAAUGACAAAUCCAGGUGAUAGUUGCAUUUUGUCUUAGCCUGAACAGUAAUAAAAAUAAGAACACCAAGAGUCGGUGAUUCUAAGAGUAUCUUCAAUCCGAGGGCCCAAAGUUCGCUUUCUAAAAUCCGAACGCCCUCAAGCUUGUUUUUCCACUAUUUGGUCUUGAAGCCCAUUAAUCAAAUGAAGUAAGGAUUAGGGUUUUUUAUAUAUAUAAAAAAAAACAAUGACAGCUUAGGAAUAGUUAGCAUGAUAUUUAUAAAACUAAAUUCAUUAAUACGACCACAACAGCAACUUGAGAAAUAAAUUGACUUGAACAAUGAAUUCUCUAGGUUAAAAGCCUAUAACAAUUCUUUAUGAAGUAUUUUUAGGUUUUCUUUAUUUGAUGCCAUCAAUUACUUUAUUUAUUUCCUUAGUACUAAUGUUUUUCUUUUUAAGAAUUCAUCAUUUUUAAAAAAUCAUAGUCAUGGUAAGAGCAUCUCCAAUGAAGAAGCUAAAUGGAUAGCCAAAAAUAAAAAACUAAUAUUUUAGCUUUUCUUUGUUUAUUUUGCACACUUCAAGAGGAAAGCCAAACAAAAUGCUAAAAUAUAUUUUCUUUUCCACAAAUGAUAUUCCUACAUAUCUCUCAAAAGAGCCAAAACUAAUCAAGUAGGGCCAACAAAAGAAUAAGCCAACUAAAUCUAGCCAUGUGAAAAAAAAAAUAACAUCAAAAUCAUUAAAAAAAAUAAAACACUUCUUUAUUCUACUCUAAUAGAAUUGGCUUUUCAAAUAGCUUUUUUCCAUUAGAAUAUGCAUGGUAAAAAAAACUAUAUUUAUACUAUUCAAAAUGUUAUUUUAUCAAUUUGUCUCUUUAAAAUAGCAUCUCCCAUUGGAGAUGCUCUAAGGGCAGCUCCAACGGAGCAGGCAAAUUGAAAGCCAAACCUCAUUUGCCUGCUCCUUCUUCAGUAUUUGUAUUCCAACCGGCAUGCUAAAUGGAAAGCCAAAAUAGCUAUUUGUGCUCUCAAUAGCCAUUUCUACAUUUAACUGUAGAAAUGACCAAAAUAGCCAACGGCUAUUUUUAUAGCCGUUGGCUAGCAGUUUUUUUUUUUUUUUUUUUUUAAAAUAUAGAAAACUUUUUCUAUAAAUACAUGGAAAAAAAAACUUGUAGUUUUAAAUUUUUGUAUUAUGCCUCACCCUUCUCUCAAAUUUAAAAAUUAAAUGGUGGCGGUUAUUUUUUCAAAGCAUGAAUUUGAAUUUACUUUUAAAAAAUUAAAUUUUUAAUAGUAAUAUAUAAAACUGAAAAUUAAAAAUAUUCAUAUAAAUAAAUUUUAAGUUUAAUUUUAAAUUAUAUCUUUUAACUUUCAUAUUAUUUCAUUAAAUUUUAUAUUAUUUUUAUAAAUUACUAAUAUUAAUUAUAUAAUUAAUAACAUCAUAAUUAUAUUAUAUAUAAAAUAUCUAAAUUAGUUACAUAAUUAUAUAAAAAUAAAUUUAACAUGAAAUAUAUUAAAAUAUAAAUGGCUUUUUUAAAUGGCUUUUUAUCAUUGAAAUGCACAUAAUAAAAAAAGCUAUAUUUAUACUAUUUAAAAAGCUAUUUUAUCAAUUUAGCUUCUCAAUUUGGCUUUUUGCAUUGGAGAUGCUUUAAUGACGGACUAAGAACUUGUUUAUUUUAUUUUAAAAAUAUUUUUGAAAAAAAAUUAAUUUUUUUAUUUUUUUAAAUUACUUUUUUAAAUAUUUUUCGAUUAUUUUAAUAUACUAAUAUUAAAAAUAAUUUUUUUAAAUAUAUUUUUAAUUAAAAAAAUAUUUUAAAAAACAACUAUCACCGUAUAUUUAUAUAUCCUUAAAUAUUCAUUUGCCACAAACUCCAUUUAAAUUGUAACUUUUUCAGAGUUGACUUAUCACAGGGAGAGUUUUAACGUUUUUGUAAAAAAAGAGUCUUAAACAAGAUGAAAAACCAAGAUUAUUUAAAUACAAAAUAGAAAGAAUAAAAAAAAAACAAAAGGCCCGUAUGGGUGUAAAUCUAGGCAUGGAGGCUAAGCCCUAAGGUGAUAGAGUGGACCCAAGAAUUGCAUGGCUUCUAGUGUGUUGUUUAAAAGUAUGAUUAUAAUUAGUUUUUAAAUUGUUUUUUAUUUAAAAAUAUAUUAAAAUAAUAUUUUUUAUUUUUAAAUAUUAUUUUGAUAUUAACAGAUUAAACUUAUUUAAAAACAUUAAAAAAAUUAUUUAAAGUAAAAAAAUAAAAAAAAUAUUUUAUUUUUAAAAAUACUUUUUUUUUAAAAAAAAAACAGGAAUUCACAAGCUGAGUCAGUGGCCACGAUUUCAUGAAUAUGGAUGGGGUAUGGGAAAUGGCAUGAUGAAUGGGGAGCAAGCAUGAUGAGAGAAAGGACGGGUGGCUUUGAGAAGGGCCCACAAAACCCCGUUGUCUCUAGUUGGAUGCACAUUCUCAUCAACGUCAAAGAACCUUAUUUGCCCUGCUGUGGCCUUUGCUGGGAGACAAAUCUAAUCCAAAUAGCACUCCCAAUAUUCAUCAAAAAGUUUCUCUUAUUUCUCCAUGCUUGAAUUUCACAGUUUUACUUGCCUUUGCCAUUUUGUGGUAAAAUGUCUUGUUUCCAGUGCUAUUUUCCCUUUUCUUUUUUCCCAACUCUGCCUUUAUUACCUGCAAAAAAUAAAAAUAAAAAUAAAAAUUACAAGUCCCACCUUUAUUGUCUUAAGAAAAAAGCCACAAUCAUGUUAAACUCAAUUGCAGUAUACAAGUUCUUGUUUGCAAUUAAGCAUCUCCUCAUUACAAGGCACCCUUACGGCCACUAGCAAAUCUUAAGAGCUUCAAAGAAAUGAUUCCCAGAUUUUUCCCAUUCUUCGCAUGCCUUUUUCACUAUAAUUAGCUUAUCAUAUGGCAGGAAAUCAAGAGCCCUCUAAGAAUCUUGCAUUGCAAUCGAUGAUUAGUGUUUGUUUUUGUUUUUACUUUGAAUUGUUUAGGUGAAUUGAUGUUAAAAAUAAAUUCUAAAAAAUAUAAAAAAAUACUAUUUUGAAUAUUUUUUAGUAAUUUUUUUUUAUAAAAAAACCAUUAUUAUAAUUUCAUAUAUUUUUUUAAAGGAUGUAUACCAAGCUUAAAAAUAAAAAACUGUACCUUUAUCAUUAAUCAUUGUGAGACUAUUACAUGGGUAGCAUCAAAAUUUGUUUUCGAAUGAUGUAAAAUGUCUCUUUAUAACCUUAAACUCUUGUGGUUAAAUCUAAUCAAGGAGGUUAAUUGAUUUGGAGGCAAUGAAAAGGGACAUUUUGCUUUAUGGUAACUAUUAGCUUGCAGUUCAUAACUUGACAGUAGUGGCAGACAAAUGUGGACUUCAUGAAAAUCACUCCUGACCCACCAAGACAGACAAGUCAUAAUGCUAUAUUUUAAAUAAGCACCACAGUAAAUGGAGUUCCUGUUCAAGUACUGGUUUUACUUCUAAAAGUUUCUCCAUUGGAGAAGUCGUUGAAACAAAUAGUAAGUCACCGUUUGAUCCUGGAAUUUUGCACCCCCCUCUAAAGUGUUUUUAAAAAUAUAUAAUAUUCAUCGAUCCUUUUGUAAUUAUGGAUUUGAACCCUAGUGUACAAUAAAAGGAAAUAAAAAGCCAAGUAUAGAACUGUAUUCUCUUGCAACACCAUCCAGAUAAGGGACGUGCCGGGUUUGAUAUUAAGUGGUGUUAUGUCUUUGACAGGAUUAAAGUGUUAACUUAUGCUUUGAACUUGUUUGAUUAUCAAAAGUAAAACAAAAAAGUUUACAAAGUUGUAAGAAACUGAGCUAGAUGCUAAAAGACUUGACCUCCAAAGAGAGUUUUUCAUUUAAACAUGUCUAUGGAUUUUGUAAAAUCGCUAUAAUCUCAAAGGCAUUUUUCAUAUUAUUACCGGAUACCGUUAACGAUCACACGACUAAACAGCUACGGCCUUCAGUACAAAAGACGGCACUAGGAGAUGAAACAGAUGAUUUAAUUAUGGAAGGGGAUGAUAUUCAAAAGGCAAUCCUUUGGUCUCACACCUCUUCCAUUUUAUGUGCGUGCUAGAGAGCUUUGCGUGCUAUCUACACGACUCAUUUCAGUACUGUAUGCGCGCACAUACUGAUAGCUUUUGGGGCGUUUGAUGUGUAGUAGCACCAAACAUUUGAAGAGUUUUCAAAUCGAGGCUCCUAAAAACACCCUUUUUGAUGGGACUUCUCUCGAUUAAGAUUUCUGGUGAAUUAAUGUUAAAAACGAUAUGACGUCAAUAAUAGGUGUAUGCAAUUUAUAUGAAGCAAGAUUCGUUAGGUGAAACAUUGAGAUAUGGCCUAAUUAACUAGGGAUAAUAUUCAUGUAUGAAAACAUGGAGGGGAUGAAGCUCAUGAGGUUCGAUGAUGAAGAUAUGACCUAGUAAACUUGUUUCUCCAUCUCAACGCUCUUCUUUCUUCGCACCACAAGACGUUUAAUUGUUACAUGAUCUUUACAGACUUUACUUCUAUCUAAUCUGUAGUAUUUAGCUACUGGAAAUCAUGGGAAGAAGAACAAGGGAAAAGCAAUAAAAGCAACGUAUGCCUCAUUCUAUUUUCUUUCUCCCUCGGUUUUGUCGAGGAACAUCGUCUAAACGACAAUAAAAGCAAAACCUUGGAUGAUUAGGUAUUGUGGUUUUGGACAACAUAUGCCUAUACAUGGGGAUGAAGUAACAUGAUACGUGCUACACAUAUAAAGAUGCCUAGCUAGUGUUAAUUAGGAUAACCCACGCUACAAAAUUGAGGUGCAAAUAAGUCAAAAAAGCAGCUAAGAUUGGAUCUGUGCGUUGGGGCUAGCUCUAACCAGAACUCCUUUUCUUCCUCUCUUUCUUUUCCUUUCCCUUUUCCUUUAUAAUAUUUAGUUUAGGAAUGGGACUUAGCCUAGAAAGACAUGAUAUGUGGACUUUGGAAUAAGAUACUAUUGUUCUGCAAAUGUGGAAGUUUGUCUUCUUCCAGUAUUGGGCACUUGAAUAUAUGCUUUUUCAAAUGAGGGAAUGGCUUCAAGCGAGGAGGGAAUGGAGGGAGCCAGCCUUAUGAUGAAGAUGUCAAAAGUUGUCCAUCUUUUUGAGCUUGGCUCAAAAAUGUAGGGCACUACCAUUUUUUAUAUUUCUGUACAGAGAAAGAUGGAGAAAGAAUGAUGCCCUCGCCAGUUUGUGAGACUGCUCCAGCCUAUGGUCUGAGAGAUAGCGAGGAGAGGAGUCAUCAUUGCUAAACAUCAAAGGCUAUAGUUAUAUUCACUGGCAUGGACCACCUCCAUGAUGGUAAAAGAAGUGUCACAAGUCACACCACCACCACCACCCUCCUCUCUCUCUCUCUCUCGCUCCCCCGUCUAUCAGCAAGAUGCCUGCCCGUGGCUGGCCCUCUAGACUCCCAAAAUCCCAUGGCUAAUCAUUUGAGAUUUAUUUUCCUUGAGAAAGCUUUGGAUUAUAUAUAAAACGCAUAAAAAUGGUGAGAAAGGAAGGGUGCCCUUUACAAAAGUUUCCAGCCAGAAUCCUAUAGAUUGGCCAUUCAUAAUUCAUAUGAAAACGUCUCCCCUUUAGCGAAAAGAUUCACAAAUUUUUGAAACCACACCACUCCCUUUCUCAUGAUUCAAAAUUUAAACACCGAAGGAGAAAGUGGUGGGUAUUGUAUAAUUGAAGUGAAAAAGAUCAUGAUCUAUCAAUCAAUGUGAUGAAAAAAAGAUUAUCUACUUUUUAGAUUUAUAUAUAUCUCCAUUUCAUGCAAAGGAUAAUGCCCACUUUUGAUCAUCAUAACUGUUCCAGAGGAGUGCCUGCUUUGCUAUGUCAACCUUUUUCUCUUAUUUUGAGAAAUUCGACAUUUUGGAACACUGUUGACCAGCACUCUCUGCUGUGCUUCUUCUCUGUAACAAGACGUUUGGCGGGAAAGAAGAUUUCUUUGUCACACGCCAUGGUUUCGCAAAAGCUACGUCUACAUGUUUUUUUUUUCCCCUAAAAAAAAAUUAUAAUUUCAUUUGACUGCCAGACAAAAUGGUUACAACUUUUCCUUGAAAAAGCUUAGAUACGAUAAUGGGAGGAAAACGGUGCUUGAAUCAACUUACACGCUCAAAUCCGAUGGUGCUAGUCAAUUAUCCUUCUAGAUCUACGGGUUUUUGAGAUAAUAAUGCAUGCUGUUUUCUAUAUAUAUUUUUUUCAUUUUUAACAUUAACACGUUCAAACCAUUAAAAAAAAAAAAUUAAAAAAAAAACAUCGAAGCAAAAAAAAGAAAUUAUAAUUUCAUUUGAAUGCCGGACACAAUGGUUACACUUUUUCCUUGAAAAAGCUUAGAUACGAUAAUGGGAGGAAAACGGUCCUUGAAUCAACUUACACGCUCAAAUCCGAUGGUGCUAGUCAAUUAUCCUUCUAGAUCUACGGGUUUUGAGAUAAUAAUGCAUGCUGUUUUCUAUAUAUAUUUUUUUAAUUUUUAACAUUAACACGUUCAAACCAUAAAAAAAAUUAAAAAAAAAAACAUCGAAGCAAAAAAAGAAAUUGUACUGAAUUAGCGCACCCCUGGCAGGCAACCGGGGAACAAAAUUGGAAGGGCCAAUUUGUCAUUGAUUUGAUGCUUGGGAUUCUUGUUUGCAUGUUUUCAUGGAUCUUGACGUUCUGUAGAGCAACUAAUCACUGGAAUAUCUAAACAUAUUCGGAGCAGCUGAAUUGGGAAAACAUAAAUUAUCUCCUAAAUCAGUGAUUCGAAAACUUGCGAGUGAGCAACUAAUUAUAGAGAUUUAAACAUUGCAGGGUGUGAGUAGAGAGUUCAUCAACAAGCUAACCUCACGAAGCCCCAAGCGUAUGUUAAUUUGCAAUCCCUUUGUUAUUUUCUUUGAAGUAACAUGAAAGCUGUAAAGCACCUAAGAAAAAUACGUGAAAUAUGACUAGUCCCCCACCACACAUGUUUCGAGAGGUGAUUAGUAACGCAAUACUAGUUUUUUUUUUUAAUUUUUAUUUGAAAAUAUAUUAAAAUAAUUUUUUAUAUUUUUUAAAAAUUAGAUCCAAAACAUAUAAAAAAAUUAUUAUUUUUAAAAAACUUAAAUUUUUAAAUAAUAUAAUUUAAACUGCAAUCUAAACAUCCAUUUAAAAGCGAAGUUACAGCUAAUAUGAGCUAAAUAUUAUUCUUGUCCACACAUGCGUUGUCUGCGAUACUCACAUAAUUUGACUUCUUAAAGUUUAUAGUGCACCCACAUUUUUAAAUGAAAACUUUUGUAAGGUAUAAUAAUCAAAUCACUUGGUCCGUUCUAAGGGGGGGAAAUUUUUUUAAGACAAAGUAGAUCGGUGGGAAAGCGAGGUUUCUGUAAUUUUUAAUUAAUGCCCGUCUAUAGUUUUUUAUUUUAUUUUUAUUUUUUUUGCUUCACAGAAGGGCAAAAAAAUAUCUCCAAGCAUUUUAUUGCUGUACUAAAAAGGCACUUUUGUCCAACACGCACAGUCGGUCUCUACUUGUAGGUGUCCUCCAACACCAUUAGUGAUUCUUUAGGGGACCCGACAUGACAUGUAAAUAUCCUUAAUUAGAGGCUUAGUUUUGUACUAAAUAAAACUGAAGACCUUACGAGAAAAGGAGUAACUUGAUUAGGUUUAUAUUAUUAUUCAUUUUUAUAAAAAUUACAAUAUAAAAGGAAAGAUUUGAUUAAGAUGUAUGAGAACUAAUUCCACAAUACUCUUUUAUGAAGGAUUUAAAAGGAAAUAUCCUAUAGUUUAUAUAUAUCAAGACUUCAAAUUACCAUAAAAAAAUGAAGCAAUAUUUUGUUAAUUCUUUUAUUGUGGAAAUAAAUACAAGGUGUUAAGUAAAGAAACAAGCAGAACCACGUGCAAGAAGAGAUUUGAUUAAUCUAAAGACAAGAUUGCGGCGGCCGACGUUUCCCCAAAUCGCGCCACCAAUCACUCCUAUACAUUACGGACACCACAAAAUACCACAAAGGUAACGAGAGGAUGCAGUAAUACUAGAUUGAUAGAUAUUUUCAACGUUCGAGUAUAGUUAGAGUUAUUUUUGAAGUAUUUUUUAUUUUAAAAAUAUUAAAAUAAUAUUUUUUAUUAUUUUUUAAAAAUUAUUUUUAAUAUUAAUGUAUUAAAAUAAUCUAAAAAAACUAAAAAAUAUUAAUUUAAAAUAAAAAAAUUAAAAUUUUUAAAAUUUUUCAAAAAUACUUGUAAAUAUAAAAACAUACAGGAUGUCUACAUGGAACGAAACCAGACAAAACUCCAACCCCAUGUGUUAUGUUUUUCUUUUUAUUAAUUUGCUGGCACUAAACGAUGUGUUCUUGUUCAUCAUUCUUGAGUUACUACUCGAUAACAAGGACGAUAUCUAAAAGUGAUGGAAACGCGAGCAAGUAACACCCGCACACAUACUUUGAUGGGAUCUGUUUUUUAUUUAUAGAAUUUGUUUACUGAAAAAUAAUUUUUUAUUUUAAAAAUAGUUAUUUUUAAAGUAAAAUUUUAAAAUAUAAAUUAUUUUUUAAUGUUUUAUAAUAUCAUAUGAAAUGACUUGAAAAAUAACUUAUUAAUACUUUAUUUUUUAAAAAUUUAUUAAAAAAAUAAGGAAAAUAUUUUGCAAAGCAAAAAAUUUAAUGAGAAUGAAAUUUAAAAAAACUUUAAUUUUAUAAAUUAUAUAAAAUAAAACAAAUAUUAAUCAAAACAAUAAUAGAGAUUAAAUUCGACAGAUAAAAAAGUUAAAAGAUAAAUGAAAUUAAAAAAAUUACAAUUUAAUAAAUUAUUUAAAACAAAAUAAGAUAAAAAAAUUUUGAUUAAAAAAAGAUGAGAAAAAAAAUAAUAAAAAAAUAAGGACUAAAGUUUAUAUAAAAAUUAAAUUUUAAAAAAUAAAAUUAAAAAAAAAUCAAAACAAAAUAUAUAAGGAUAAAUUUGAUAAAAUCAACAAAUAACAUGAUAUUUUAAAAUUUUUUCCAACUUUUAAAAAGUAUUUUUCAUUUAAAAUAAAAGUAAAUUACUUUUCUAAAAACCAAGUUAAAUUUUUUCUAAUGUAAAAUAUUUUCGUUUGCUAACUUUUUAAAUAAAAAACAAAAAUAAGAAAUUCUAAAAAAUUAUUUUCGAGUACUUAAUCCUCUUUACAUGUCCUUAAUCCUCCUCAAUGUUAUGGUCAACUUGAACAAACCAACAGGCCAUGUGAAGACCAUCCAAAAAUUAGUCAUCACAUGUAGCUCAAGACUCUUCAUUCUUUUACAGCAGGCGACAGAAUAAAUCUCAAAUUAGACUUCUUUAAAGAGAAAAAUUGAACUUGGUAAAUUAAACUACAGCAUUUUACUAGCUAUCAAGACUAGGAGAACUAAUCAAGAGUGCCAUGAUCGUUUGUAUAGGGAUGUACAAGGAUCAGGAAUUAAUAAUACAUGGAAAAAUGUCAAAAGAAAGAAGAAAAGCUAUUAUUUACAUAUAACUAGGAGAGAUUAAGAAGGAAAUAAAAUCAAAAGAAAAAAAGGUGUCCUAAUUAGGUUAACCAAAAGUCAUGGUUCAAAUGGAGAGAGACAAAAAAAUAUUCUUUUCUUUCAUGCAUCAACAUAGAUACUCACCGCCAUUUAAGCUUUAUCCUCUUCAUCUUCAUUCUUUCUCUCUCUGAUUAUGAUCUCGUUAUCAUUUACUACUUCUUAAUGGUGAUCAUCAUAUACUAAUAAUAAGAGACUUAUAUUCCUAAUCAGAAGAACAAAUCCACGAUUCCAUCAUACCUUCACUUCUUGCAGCCACAUUCUCUUGCCCCUUGUUAUCACCACGAAAAUCUGAUGACGAAGAAGCCAAGAAGUUAACUUUCCCGUUUGUAACACGCUGGGUUGAGUUAUUGUAAUUGCCAUUAAUGGACCUUAGAAGACCUUGUUGUUGAUGAUGAUGAUGGCCACCCUCAUUUGAACCAACCCCAUCUCCCCAGUUUGCAAGAUUGUUGUUGUGAUCACUUCUUCUCAUUAACGUCGCAUCUGCUGAUGGUGACGACGACGACGAAACUAUAUUUUGAAGCCCUGUAAGGUUUGUGCUAACAUGGCCAUGGCUCAUCCCGAACUCUUCUAAAACACCCAUUUUGAGAUGUGAAUCGUUUGAUGGGAUUUCUAACGAAGACCCUUGUUGUGCUUUUGUGGUGCCAAGGAUAUUGGUUGAAUUUGGAAGUGGAUAUUUAUGAGGGGCUUGAAGAAGAGGGUGGAAAUUGAGAAUUGGGUUUUGGACGUUGAUGUUGAGCAAGUUGUCGGCUGUUUAAAAAGGCCUAGAUCAGAAGGUAGUUGGUAGUUAAUGGAAGUUGAGGAGAUAUUAGUAGUAGUACUAUUAGUACAAGCACCGGAAUUAUUGAUGUUAGUUGUAGUAGUGGAGGCUAUAGCAUCAACCAUAGAAGUAGAAAAUGAUGAUGCAGUAGAGCCUGAAGAGGCAAAUGGUGGUGCUGGUGGUGGAGGUGGUUGGAAUCUUUGAGCAAACGGUCUUAAAAGGUAAGGAGGUGGUGAAGGGUCCAAAUGGUGAGAGACAGCUGAUCUCAAAGUGGAGGCUGCAGUUCCAAAUAGAUCAAGCCUGCUUCUUGGGAAAGGUGAGGACGUGAAGGGUGGUGCAGGGAUCCCUGUAAACUCCUGAACCAUGGCUCUGAAAUUGGUGGUGUCUGUGGUCAAGACAGUAGUUGGUGCACGCCUAGAAGCUCUUGAUCUUUUCUUCGGGUUUUCUAACCCUCAGUGUUACUGACUGAUCAUUUGCCCUGAAACUGAAACUGGACCUCUUGUAGCACUUUCAUGUCCAUGUGGUGGUAGAGACUGAAAAGUGGUUCUAGUUUGAGUUUGGUUGGUAAACUGUUGGGUUGGUGAGGAAGACGAAAUGAAGCCACCAAGAUCAGUGCAAUUGGGUUCAGAUCUUAAGUUCUUAGACCAAACCAUAUCAAGAUUGAGGAGUGAAUUUGGGUUCGUGAAGGAGGUGGUGGUGAUCUUGAUGAUGCCGAUGAUAAAGGAUCAAAAUAGUUUGAUAAAGGGUCAAAACAUCGUUGAUGAUGAAGAAGAGUGGUGGGUUGGUGGUGGUGGUGGUGUUCUGGUUGUGGUGGUGGUUACUAGACAUGGGACCAACAUGGCUUAAUGGGUUGUUAUUGUUGUUCAAGAAAGCUGAGAUUGACUCAGCGCGUGAAUCAUACUCUUCAUCUCCACCACUGGAGGAUUGCAUACUUCCACUAUUGCCAGAAUCCAUUUUUCUUCAAGAAAAAGAGCGAUAAACUAAAAGGGAAAGACGUAAAAGAAAGACAGAGAUAUGGAGAGAGAGAGAGAGAGAUGUAUCUAUAUAUGCAGUGAGAUUUUUGCGUGCUUGCUUAUUGACUUACCCACACAGACUCGAUCAGGCUCAUUUAAGAAGGGGGGAGAAGCUACAAAACAAAGCAUGUGGUAAUAUAAAGGAAGAAAGCGAAAAGUCUUCUGGAAGAUAAAUCAAGGAGAGCUAUUCUCAGAAAAAGUACCCCAAGUUGUCUUUAAAGCUCUGAUCUACAAAGAAGACAGCGUUUGGCUUGCUUUUACUUGGUCUUUGGACAAAAGUGUAUAUUAUGGUGUAGAGAAGGGAAUAAACAGCCGAGGAUCAUGAAAUUGAUAGUUCCGUCAGGGAAGAAAGAGAUAGAGAUGAAUGGAAGCUAACUCUCUUUGGUUGUUUUCUGUUUCCCUUUUGUUUUUAAGCCUAAUAUGGGGGUACUGAGGUGAAUUAGGGUUUUCUUCAAGAGACAGAGAGAGAGAGAGAGGUGGUUCUCCAGCCUUUUCUUCUCUCAAACAGAGGCUGCUUCUGCUCGCAGUUUCUCUCAAAAGAUCAGGGUGGGGUAGCCGAGAGGGAGAGGGCUGUGAUAGGAGAGGCAAGGCAACUGGUCAAAGUAUGUGAGAGGUGUGGUUUUGAUUCAGUGUGAAAAGAAGAAAAAGAUAAGAGGCGAGGGAGAGCUGUUAACAUAUACUACCACCAUUGUACUAGAGAGAUAAAAGUCUCUACAUUUAAGUAUGGUAUUACCAUUUUUUUUAAGAAAAAAUUAGUAUUUUUUAGUUAUUUUGAUGUGUUAGGAUUAAAAACAAAUUAUAAAAAAUAUUAUUUUAAUAUACAUUUAAAUAAAAAUAUUUAAAAAAAUAAUAUCUACCAUUCUAGCCCUACGUACUACCACAGUACUGGUACUAGAUAUAAAGUAUUGAAAUCGUCUUCAUUCACGGAUUAGAAAUGCUAUGAUUAAAAUUAUUUAUGUGUAUAGAAUAAUGUGAUGGGCACGCAACCAAAUUAGGAAAAAUGGUAGUUGAAUGGUAUAAAAAGAGGUAUAACAACCGUCACCAAUAUUGACCACCAUUUACUUUUCAAAAGAUUUAUAUAUUUUUUAAAAAUAGAAAAUUAAGUGUCUCGUGUAGUAUUUGGACUCCAUUCUGGAAAUCUAACAUUAUCUAGCUUUUGUCCCAUGUUCUCGAGGAAGGUUAGGUUUAAUGAUAGACAUUGCAAGAAUCAUUCAUGUCGAUUAUAUAUAUAUAUAUAUAGAGCAUAGGCUAGUAAAUUGUAAUUCUGGCCACAGCCUUUGACCAAGUCCAGGAAUCGUGUGAUAAAAUAUCAGGAAAAGAAAAUUAUGUUAUAAUUGAGGAACCUCAGAGAAUCUUUCACAGUUUUUUCUCUGCUGAGACGUAUAGAAGCAAAGAUCAUGAUUUUUAUUUUAUUAUACCUUGGUUUUGAAUAAUCAAGAUUCUUAAACGUACGUACGUGAUUAAUGUAAGAAAUAAUUCAGAUUAAUUUUACAUGUUUGGAAGAGAGAAGAAAAGAUAUCAAAUCUGUGGAUGGAUGGAUCUGCUCACCAACACCCUGAGUUUGCUGCAACCAUCAAAACUAAAGAGAAGCUAUAUAAAUAAUAUUGUUCCUGUUUAUAUCCUUAAUUUAGAAUAUUUAGUGAUAUUAUUUAUAUAGCUUGUUAUUAAAUAAAUUACACACACUUGGUAAUAUCUUAGACGUCUUCAUCGUUGUACGUGGUUUGAUAUGAUAUAUCUCUUGUCAAUGAUCUGUUCUUGCCGCUGCAAUAACCAAACCCUAAUCCUGAAGACCCGAAUUUCAAAUCUAUACGUAAGGCUAGCUAAAGCAGCUUGUAAUUACUGAAUCUAUGCGAUGCUUUAAUUAUUAAUUCCCAACUGUAAAAUAUAUAUCUACCAGUUCUAUGGGAUUUCUUUUUGCAGUUCUUGACAGGUACACCUUACAACCUAUCGAUCCUUUUUUCUCAACAAACAAACAAGGAAAAAAAAGAAACUGUCUAAUCUGGUUAAGGACGAAAUCAAAUCUAAUAAAUAAUAAUAAUAAUAAUAAUAAUAAUAAUAUUACUCCUCCUUGCAAGAACCAUCAUAUUUUGCUGUUCGGUUGUUUAGAGCUCUUUAGAAACAACUAAUAAUAAGAAUACAGAUAAUAUCAAGGAAAUAUUUUUCAUAAAAACUCAAAACCAGACUCGAAAAUAAUCGAAUGAUUGUUAGUUGAAGCCUCCCACCACUUCAAAAGUUGUUUAUUGAACCUUUCUUUUGUUUAAGAAAUAAAGAGAAAUAGUGUUUAAAAAAAAUGUAGGUUUUGGCAUUUUUAUGAUUUAACUGGCACUGAUUUUUUUUGGCCCAAAGAUUUUUAAUUAAUAGGUGAUGGUGUGUGUGUGUGAGAGAGAGAGAGAGAGAGAGAGAGUUUAACUGAAUUUUCAAUUCAAAGAUGAGUACAUUGCCCUUAUUACAACAAAAGCGUGAAUUUCUUUUCUGUAUUUUCGCUGUUUAUUGAUUUUUUUUAACUUAGUUCUUAUUGUACUUUGUUAUUAGGACUUAAGUUGAUAAUUCAUUUUACUUUUCUUUUUAUAUGAUCAUUGUAACAUUAAAAAAAUAUCUUGAUAUUGAAUUGAUAUUUAAAAAAUAUUUUAGUAUCGCAAUUUCAUCUAAUUUAUUUUAUAUUUAUUGAAAUAAAUAACGGUUUUUUUUUUAAGAAAAAACCAAAUUAUUAAAAUUUAUGAAGUUAAUGUCUCAAAUUACGAGUUUGAUAGAGUAAUCCAAGUUACACUGGUUCACGGGUUUGGCAGAUAUAUUUUUUUUUCUAAUUGAACUCGAUUUUGUGUUUGUCUAUUUUUAUUUUAUCAUAUGGCUAAAAAUAUUAGUUUUUUAUAUAUAUAAAGAAUCAUGUUAUUAAACUUUUAAAAAGUUCAUGGACUUGUUCACCGGUUGAAUCGCUUCACGGGUUUGGUAGAUUUAACUUUUUUAUUUUUUAUUUUUUAAAAUUAUUUCUUUAUUUCAUUAUUCUUUAUCGGGUUGAUUGGGAAUUAAGUUUUAUAAUGUUUUUUCAUUUUACUUUCUAUGAGGUUAUCACAGUCUAAAAAAAAACAUUUCAAUAUUUGGUUGGUGCUCAAUUUUGUAAUUUUCUAGUUUUUUAUUAUAUAGUUAAAUAAAAAAUAGUUCAAAAAAAACAAGUUAUUAAUCUUAGUGGAGUUUGUGACCUGGUUCACGGGUUUCAUGUGUUUACUCGGGUUACCUGAAUCAUGAGUUUGAAAGGUUUAUCCACCAAACCCAAUAUAUAUUUUUAGUUUUUGUUCCUUUAAUAAUUUUUUUGAUUGAUUUACUUUAUUUCAUCAUUUAAUAUUGGAUUAGUUGAGAGAUAUACCUUUUGAUUUAUUUCUGUUUGUUUUAUAUAUGGUUAUCACAGUAUCAAGUAAAUGUCAAUUUUAUUUUAGGGUUGGUACUUAAUUUUACAAGUAUCUAUUUUUUAUCAUAUAAUGAAAUAAAAAAAAAUUUACAAAAAAAAAAGUUAUUAAACUCAGUAGAGUUUAUGACUUUGGUUGCGAGGUGACCAUGGUUGAUCCAAUCUAGCGUCAUCUCAAUAUUUAAAAUAACAUUGUCAUUUUGAGGGUUUUUUUUUUAAGUUAAGACAUGUUUUUACUGAUCAUUCAUGUUGCAUUUGAACCCCUAAAAUCAAUUUAUUCAAUUUGGGUAAACUCCCAAUUGGUUUAAGUGAUAACUCGAGCUAGGCUACGAGUUAAGUCGGGAGUUUUUAAGAUUAAUCCACUUGGUGGGAUUUAAUGACACUGCCAAAACAUUCCCCACACCCUUGAAAUUUUUUUUUACGUUUAAAAUUAUUAGGAAAAAGCAUGAUAUAGUUUUAUCGAAAUUGCACUUGCCUAUCAGCUUUUAAAAAAUUACAAUUUACAUCCUUGAUAGAUGUAAAAUACACUAAACUAUAAGAUAAUUUAUGAUGUAAAUUAAUACACAUACAACAAAGCUCAGGUUGCAAAGAGUAAUUUUUCAAAAGUUAGUAAGCAAGUGCAAUUUUAACUCAAAUAUAAGAUAAUAGAAGUAUUUUUUUCAAAAAAAAUGGAUUCGACCUCAGACAAUAAGUUUAUGAAUGGACUAGUUUUCUCAUAAAAGAAAACAAGGUAAUCAAAUCCGUUAUGCUUAUUCCGUGUGGACAUUAAUAUGUUUAUGAAUCUUGGAUUUGUAAGGAAAAUGAUGUCAAAUUUAUAUAAAAUAUAUAUCAGAAAGUUUUUUGAUAUAUAUUUUAUAUAAAUAUAAGAUAAAAUUUUAACUAAAUUAUAAGAUGACAAAAGUAAUUUUUUCAAAAAAAAUUAAUUUAACCCUAGACGAAGCACUCAUGAAUGGACUAGUUUUCUCAUUAAAGAAAAUAAGGUAAUCAAAACUGGAUAUGCUUUUUCCAUAUAGAAAUCAAUAUGUUCAUAAACCUUGGAUUUGCGAGGCAAAUGAUGUAAAAUUUAUAUAAAAUAUAUAUCAAAACAAAUUGAAAGAAAAAAAAGUUCAAAUUAAAAUUCUAUUAAUAAAUUGAUAAAUUUUUAUAAAGUUAAUUCAUAAAUAUUGAAAUAGUAAAAAUGACUUAAAAGGUUUCACCUAUUUGAUUUUGAUUUCUAAAUAUCUAUAUUCGAAUAUUUUAAUUUGACUGAUAAAUUAGAGGCCAUGCUUUAGAAAUUUGAACCAUAAACUCGUUAUACAUUGCCACUCCCUAAACUUAAAAAUUAUGAUGAUACUUUUUUAAUAACAUAACAUCUCGUGCUUUUUAAGCAUGCAAGACAUCUUAACUUUCAUUAAAACAUUAUACUUAAAAUAAUACUAUGUUAAAACAAAAUACCUUGAAUUAUAAAUUAAUUAAAUCAAAUAUAAAUCAUUUCACAUCAAAUAACUUAACUUCAAAGUUAAAAUACACACACACACACACAACAAGUCUAAAAUCAUAAAUUGAUCUAAUUAUUAAAAUAAUAAAGUCUAGAAAUCAAUUAUAAACUUCCAAAACAACCAUUUAAUAUUCUAAACCUCUUCCAAGUGAUUUAAUAGUUUACUAAGUAAAUAAAUCAAUUCAUAGUAAAUCAGAUUUUAAUAUUCUAAACCUUUUCCAAAACUACAACUAUUUUUAGAAAAUAGUUUACUAAGUAAAUAAAUCAAUUCAUAGUAAAUCAAGUUCUUUAUGAAACACCUUCCACGCACUCUGAUUUUACACAAAAAUUAAUUAAUUUUACAAUUUAAAUGUUUCAAACCAAGGUGCACUUGUUGCUAAUCAUAUGUUAAAUCUUGGUGAAGUUGUGAAGCAGUGUAAUCUACAACAUGUUUUGGAUUAGGAACAUAUCUUCUCAACACAGAAAUAUGAAAAACAUUAUGGACACCUGACAAGGCAAGCAUACAGGCCAUUUUUUCAACUCUCUUUAAUAUCUCAAAAGGCUCAACAUAUCUAGGACUUUACUUUCCUUGAAUUCUUAACCUCUUUACUCCUUUAGUUGGUGAUACUUUGAGAAAGACAAGAUCACCAAUAUUGAAUUUCAAAUUACACCUCUUGCAAUCAGCAUAACUUUUUUUAUAUACUCUGUAUUACAUAUAGUUUUUCUCUUAUCAAUUGAACAUUCUCCACAAUCCUUUAUAUCAUAACUGAUCCUAACUCUUUCCUCAGUAUCCUAAAUAUUGAUAUGGAAUCACUAACAAAAAUUUUAAAUAUAUUAAUAUUUAAUAUUUCAUCUAUAUUUUAUCAGUAAAACCUAAUAUAAAAGAUCACGAGCACAACAAAUGAGGCUUCAUCUUCUUCUUUACUCCUCUUUCUACCUUUCUUUAUUUUUCUCGCUUCUUCUUCACCCUUAUUUUUAUUCACAAUCCAAGCUAAAAUCAAGCAUCAUCUUCUCUCUUCUCAUCCUAAGAUAUGUUGUCUUUCUUCAAUUUCCUCUUUAUUUUUCAGGUUUUUUUAACAAUCUCUUUUCAUUUAUUUUCCUUUUUUUUUGUUUUUUCAAUUCUCAACCGACACUAAUCAUGACAUAAAGGUAAGAAUUUUUUAUUCAUUUUUCUUCUUUAUUUUGUGUUGAUUUUUAUUUUUUAUGUAAAUCUGUUUUUCAUUAUUUUAAAGAAUUUUAGCUAUUUUUUUCCAAUUUUGUUCAAUUUCAAUUAAAUAUGUAGGAUUAAUUUUAAUUAUUAUUUUAUAUAUUUUUAAUUAAGAUUAAAUUUUUGUAAAUUUAGGAAAAAUAUGUUGUGUAUUAUUCUAAUUAUUUUGAAAGAAAUUGAAUAAAAUCAAUUGGUUUGUUGCAUAUAUGUUGUGUAUUUGCAAGUUUAAAUUUUUGGGUAGCCUUUCAUAUAAAGGAUGUGCAAUAACAUCAGUCUUUAAAUCAUCGAUUCAAAUUUUAUUGUUUCAAUAGAGCCAGGUUUCCAAAUAUUUAUUUUUAAAUUGUCAAUGAAAACCGUUGAUCGAUGCAUGAUUUUCAAGGUUCAAGGUUAGUAUUAACUUAAGUAUUUUUUUUGUUAUAUUAAUUUGGUUAGUUUGUUGAUUUGUUUUUCUUUUACUAACAUAUAAUUUAUUGUUAACAUAUAGGUUUUGUGAUUUUUAGUACGAGACGCAAAAGAAAACAAAAAUAUAUGUUAGAGAAAGUGAGCUUCUAGCUUGGAAUGAUGUAAUAGUUUGGAAGGAUUACAAACCGCCAUAUAUCUUGAAAGUUGUAUGGGAGAACUACAUUCAGUAUUUGAUGUCCACGUGUUUUACUCAAUAGCCAUGGUUCAGUACGAAGAAUCGACAUCGGCGUGUUCUCGAUCCUGUUACCACACACACCGAUAGCUCUAUUCCAUUAGUUUCGCAUGUGAAAUGGAUGUUAUAAUUUUUUUAAUUACUUACAUUUUUUAUUUUUUAUUUUUUAAUAAAUAUAUUUAACUGACAAUAUUUUUAUCUUGCGGGUUAUUGUUAUUGGACGUGAGCCAAGCCCAGUGAAACUUGUUGCUGAAAUGCAUAUGCAUAGUGAUGACUGCCAAAAAUGAGUACAACAGUUCGUGUAUUGUCGAGCUCAGCACUUUAUGGUAUGCUAGUUUUUGACCAUUUUUUUAUUAAGUUAUAAUUUCUUUUAAUUUGAUAAAUUUAUUUUUUUUCUUUCCAGGAUACAUAUAACAACUACUUGAAGGAGAGAUAUAAGGAUGAUCAUUCGACCCAUUCAGAUCUCAAUACAGAUUUAUAGUCGAAGGUAGGAUCGUUCGGUGAGCCUUAUAGAAAUUAGGUGUAUGAACUUUUUAACACUACGACCAAAAACUUACAGAUAAACCGUAAUGUUUUGACUGUUGAAUGCUCACAAUCGAUCCCAAGCAUUCAAACUUUGAAGUUCGAGGCAAUGUUAAACCAGUGAGUACAAGAUCGGACGCCUCACCUCAAUGAAAAAUAUGAACGACUCACUACGAAUUAUAAAGAGUUUUGGAAAAUAAUAAUGGAUAUGAGAUCACACAUGGAUGAUCCAUGUGCUCCUCCAAUUCAUCAUUUUUUUUCAAUUCCUUAAUUUCACAUUUAUUUCAAAUUAAAUCUAUGAAAAAUAUAUAAAAUCACUUUCAAUGACUUCAUAUCAUUUUAUGACUCCAUUAGUAAAAGACUCACUCUUUAUAAAAGUGAUUCAAAAUAAAAAAAAAUCAUAAAAACCCUAAUUUCUAAAUCUUUCUCAAUAACUCUAAUAUGCAUUCAAAAACUUAAUUAAAAGGUAAUGAUAGAAAACACACACUUAAAUUGAUAAAAGAAAAUAAAGACUUUGAUCCUAGGUCAAAUAUCCUCCUCAUCUUCCUCUUCCUCUUCAUCUCUUUGUUGAUUUAGGUUUUGAUUGUCUACAAAAUAUAACAUAAGUUACUAUAGGAUUUUAUUUUCAUUUUAUUCUCUAAAUUAUUAUACAAUUACUAAUAUAUUCACUAUUACUUAUGAUACCCUUAAUUAAUAAAAACAAUAUAAUUAAUAAUAUACCUACUAUUACUUAUAAUACAUUUAAUUAAUAAAAAAGAUGUAAUAAAAGAAAUAAUUAAUUAUAUUAUUCUAUUUAUUAUUACUAUUUUUAUUUUCUUUCACACACGUAACAAUGUUAAUCUGAUUAUCAAAGUUUAAUAGUAGUUUCAUUCUUUUUUAAAAUUACAGUGCCACCACAAAAAUUAACACUAUUUCAAAUUCUACUGGAACUAUGAUGGGACCGGCCAUUUUUUUUUUAUGUUGAUGUUAUUUUGACCUUUAAGGGUUUUCGUGUAAGAAAGGUAAGGGGUGGUUCUUUUUGUUUUAAAAAAAAAAAAAUUAAAGAAAGCGAACAUUCCAUCUAUUGCUAUCGGGUGAUUUAACAGCAAGGGCCAUAUUGAAAUGUAUGGGAACAUUUCAUUUAUUUUUUAUUUACUUUAAAUUAAUAUAUUUUUUAUAUUUUUAGAUCAUUUUAAUGUAUUAAUGUGAAAAAUAAUUUUAAAAAAUAUAAAAAUACUAAUUUAAUAUAUUUUAAAAUAAAAAAUAAUUUUAAAAACAUUUAUAAAUAUACUUUUAAAUAUCAUACUGCUAGUACGGUAAGGAUUUGUUUUUGCUUGAUGUCUAAAUCGUGUGUCAAUAAUUUCAGGAUCAUAAUUAAAUUAAAAGACAUCCUUAAAAAAAAAAAAAAAGCCUAAAUAAGAGUAAUUGCAAGAGGAUCCCUUACAAAACUCUCGAUUUUUUUGGGCGUGGUACAUCCUGCAUCCCAUCCAUCACAUCCUGCCAGUUGUUGGAAAUUCUUACAAAACAUAGCUAAUAUUUAUUUUAUAAAUUAUUUUGUCUGCGAUUUAGGGUAUCAUCAUUAGCAUGCGCUAUGAAACGGAUGAUUAGCUGGAAUCAUAUGAUUUUUUUCUUAUAAUAAAAAAGCGUUCACGUGUAUUGCUAACAUGUUCUUUUACUAUAAAAUUAAAACUUAAGAAAAUAUAAAGACAUUAUGAAGUUAAAAAUUUGAUAUAUACGGACAAAAAAACUUUUAAAAUACUGAAAAAUUGAUAUAUUAGAUAACAUAUUAUUUUUAAAAAUAUAUAUUAAAAUAACAGCACAUUAAAUCAACUUGGUAAAAUCUUGGUUAAAAUAUAAGAACAUGAUAACCUCACAAAACCUAUACCAAAAUAAAUCAAGAAGGUCAGUUGUGAUGAACCAAAUAUUAAAAGUAAAAAAUAAAGAAGAAAAACACUAAAUCUAAAAGAAAAGGGGGGACGACUAGAGUAAAUCUAGAUUGGUGGUCUGUACCACAUCAAAUUUGCAACGCAUGAUAUUGUAUAUUGGGUUCAAUAAAAAAGUUUAAUUUCUAAUAAAUUCAAUACUGAAUAAUAAAAUUGUUAAAAAAAUAUAUUCAUAAAUAUUGCCAAAGCAAAAAUAAAAACCAACAAUAAAAAGAAUAAUGAUCAAACUUGGCAAGGAAAAAAUUAUAAAGGAUAAAAUUGCAACAAAAAAAAUCAAUUUAAAAAACCAUCUCAAACAUAAAAAUAAGAAUAAAAAGAAUAGGGACUAAAUUUGAGAAAUUGAAAAAUUAAAAGAGGAUGAAUUUGAAAACAAUUUUCAAUUUGAAAUAAUUCAUUGAAAUGAAAGAAGUGCAAUUAAAAUAAGAUGCGCUAAAUCUCUAGAAAAAAUAAUUUAAAGGGUUGUUAUGAUUUGUUGCAAGGGCGACACACCAAUCAAGGUGGAGAGAGAGGAAAAAAAAAUAAAAUCCAAAUGGUGUCAAACUAGCUAGAAUGAAAAUACAUGCGCUGUCAUAUAAGUAGUCAUUGCCAGGACGAAUCGAAAAACAUCCUGAAAGGCUAUUUUUUAUCACUGUAAGCUUGAAUGCGAUGAAGUGGCUUACACGCUGGUGUGUGCCACUUUUUUUUUUUUUUGUAGUUCAAUAAAAAUACAAAUGUGCCCCUAAUAUCACAUAAAAGCCAUGAAAAACCAAGAGGAAAGUAUUAAUAAGCCCUAAGGCCUAAAGAAAAUGCUAAAUUUUUUAAAAUUCCAAGGGCUAUAUAGUCAUUAUAGUGUGUUAAUAAAAAGUGCAAUAAACCCCUAGAUUUAAACUAACAAAUCUUUUGCUUCUAAUAACAUCUAAAUAAUUUUACCAUGCUAUUAUAUGAAAACAAGAAAGAUCAAGCCACCCCUAAUUAAAUCAAUAAUAACCUAUAGAACAAUGAAAAGACCUAAUUACCCUUCAUAGAAAGCCUUGAUGUACAAUGGUUAGAAGGGCAAGGUUGUCCCUCAAUUAUUCCAAUGAAUAGUAAUUUUUCUUUUAUGCUACAAGACUUUAUUAACAUAUUUUAAUUUUUGUUAAUUUAAAAAUAAUAAUAUGAGAGUUGAUUUAAUGUAACCCGGUUAACUUAAUGAAUCUAGAGAUAACUCGAAUGACUAGUAAAAAUAUAGUCUGAAUUAAAUAAAUUUCAAGAUAAUAUUUUUUUUUUAAAAAAUAAUAUUAAAAUGACAACAAAUUGGAUCGAUUCGAGUCAACUUGGAAUAACUUAACCAAAUUCACAACAAAAACUCAUAAGGCUGUCACAUUUUCAUAGAAAAUAAAUUAAAACAAAUUAUGAAAUAUAAUUCUCAGUUAACCUAAUAUUUAAAUAAAUUAAAAAAAAUCAAUUAAAAAAAUAAAAAAUGAUCAAAGUCAACAAAAGUUAACCUGUCAAACUCACAACCCAAGUCAUAAGAUCAACAUAACCUCAUAGAAAUAAAAUCAAAAUAAAUUAUAAAAUCCGAUUCUCAAUGAACCUAAUAUUGAAGGAUUAAUGUUAAAAAAACAAUUAAAAAAUGAUAAAAAAAAUAACCAAAAUCAACUCGAGUCAUGAGACCGAGAUAAUUUCAUAUAAAAAAUUCAAAAUAAUUUAUGAAAUUCAAUUCUCAAUAAACCUAAUAUUAAAUUAUAAAAAAAAAAUCAAAAGAAAACAUUAAUGUAUGGCAAUGAUCAAAUAAGAAAUGCUUUUAUAAAUUUUCAAGAGUAAAUAAUGAUAGUUAACAUUAUUUCAUAUAAGAGAGAUAUAUAGAUAUAAGAAAAAAACGAUAGGGGAGAUAAUUAAAAAAAUGAUGAAAUUAAAAAAAAAAAGAAGAGAGAGAGAAUGAAUAAUUUUGUGGAAUGUGAAUGGACAUGGAUUAAGGGUAUAUGUUAAACUUGUAGAAUGAUAAAAUUAAUGUACAUGAAGAACUAUUAUAGUACAAGAGUUUGGGGGUAGAUUGAGCUUUAUUUGAUUAUUAUUUCAUAAUAAAAAAGACAAACAAUUGUGAUACAGAGGACGAGAAAGAAUAUAAGAUCUGAAGUUAUGUUAGAUAGUAAUGUAUAAGAUAAAUUAAGUAUUUAUGUAUUUUGUUUUGUUGAUGAAGGAGGAGACAAAAUAAAAUAUAAAAAAUAUUUGUUUUAUCCUUUAUAUGUUUUAUCAUCAAACUUGCCAUAAAUUAUUAAUUCAUCAAUAUUCUUAUUUUUAAUAUAAAUUCAAAAGAAAUAUUAUUUAUCUAAUAAAUUGUAAUUUAGUUUGGUUAAUCCAUUUUUUAUUGAUAUAAAUGAAUAAAAAAAAUUAUAAUCUUCUUUAGUUGGUUAAUUUUAUUCAAUUUUUAUUUGAUAAAAUGAUAAAGAGAAUUUUAUAAUACACAUGUAAGAAAAAACAAAACUAUUGUAAAAAAAUUGGAAAAGGUAGGAAAGAUAUAUACUUAGUUCAAUCAAAACCCUCUAGAAAUGAACAAAUGCCAAAUCCUCCCUGUAAAUCCUCUCUCCCGUUGCAGGAUAAAAAGAAAGAAAACAGUGUUUUUAGACUCCUUAAAAAUGUUUUCAAGAGUAUUUUUGGAAAUUAAAUUUUAUUAUUUUUUUGUCUCUAACAUUGUUUUAAAAUCCUAACUAGCAAAAUAAGUUAAAUUAAGGUCUAAAUUAGUUUAAAUUAAAAAAUAUAAAUAAAAAAAUAAACUUGAUUAAUAAAUAACUCAAUCAACUUAAGAUUAACCUGAUCAAAACUCGACCAUUAACCUAUCUUGUUUUUUAAUCAUGCCGGAGCGAGCACACUUUACGGGUUUCCUUGUAUAGAUAUAGGCCAAGGUUUUUUUUUUUUUUUUUUUUUAAGGAAUAUUAAUUAGUUUUACAUGUAAAUGCCCGUGACUUGUGAUAAAUUGCGCGUUUGUUUGACGUGCUACUAAGAGAUUCUGUUUAAUAUUCACACAAACAAAGUACCAAUAAAAUUAAUUCCGUUUAAUGUUUCGCGCGGCGAGUUAUUUUGGUCCCCCUUCCAGCAGAGCAGAGGGGUAGUCAUGUCCUUCAGAGUUUAGGAUCUAUCUCUCUAAGGUUUUAUUUUUACAUUUUUAAAGUAUUUAAAAAAAAAAUAUUUUUUUAAUUUUUUCUUUAUUUUAAAUUAAUAUUUUUAAAUUAUUUUAAUGUACAGAUAUUAAAAAAUAAAUUUUAAAAAAUAAAAAAUUAUUUUAAUAUAUUUUUAAGUAAAAUACAUUUUAAAAUAACCCCAUAAAGACACUCCCGCUCCCAGACUCUAUGAUUCAUUUGGCUGCGUAGGAUCACUUCACCUUCAUAAGCGAGUGCUGGGGGAGGAGAGGCACAUAGUAACAUGCUUCCAAACAGUUGAAUUGGACGGUGAGCAGAGGGCUUCUUCGGUUUGAGGUUUUGACUGUUUUUGUUUUUCCCGACUAAUCAUGAUUUUGAAAAAUUUUAUUUUAUUUAUUUUAUUAUUAUUUUGAUAUACUGAAAAGUAAUUUUUAAAAAAUAAAAAAUAUAUUAUUUUAAUAUAUUUCCAAAUAAAAAAUAUUUUAAAAAACCUCUAUCACAUUCUCAAAUACUAUCAUUAUUGUAGGCUUGUUGGUGAGUAGUAUACAUGUAUUUGAUUAAUUUACAAAAAAUUUUAAAAAAAGUAUGUGAUUUUAUUGUACUCUCCUCAUGGAAUACUAUUCACUAUAAUAGUAUUUUGUUUUUUUUCUUUAGUUUUUUUUUAAUCUAUGUUUUUUUUUUCAUUUUAAUUAAAUAUUGAGUUUCAUAAUUUUUUUCAAAUUAUUUUUCAUUAGGUUAUCACAAUAUCAUGAUCUGGACCGCGUGUUUAACAAGUUGACUCAAGUUUUUUUUCCUUUUCUUAUUGAUUUUUUUUUCAAAUUCAUCCUUCGACAUUGGACUUAUUGGACUGAUUGAGGAUUAAGUUUCGUGAUUUAUUUUAAUUUUUUUAUGAAAUUAUUAUAAUCUCAUAACUCAAGUCACAUAUUUGACUAAUUAGUGCAGGUUGACUUGAGUCAUUUUUAUAUCCUUUUUUAUCAUUUUUUUUAUGUCAUUAGAAUUUCUUAUUUAUUUCAAUUUGUUUUCUAUUGGGUUAUCUUAGUUUCAUGAAUCAGGUUGUGAGUUUGAUAGGUAAACUAGGGUUGAUUCGAGUCAUUUUUUUUCUUUUUAUUAAUUGAUUUUUUUUUUCUAAAAAAAUUGUCCUUCAACACCAGGUUUAUUAAAAAUUGAACUUCAUAUUUUGUUUUGAUUUAUUUUUUAUAAGGUUAUUAUAAUCUCGUGACUUAGUAUAUGAAUUAGAAGGUUAACUUAAAUUGAUCCAAAUCGAUUUAAUAUAUUUUUUUGUCUUAAUAUUUAUAAAGAAUGUCAUCUUGAAUAAUUAUUUUGAGUAAAUCAUGUUUUUAUCGACCAGUUGAAUUGUAUUUAGACUCAUUAAAUCAAACGAGUUAUAUUAAAUCAAUUUCAAUAUAGUUUAAUUAAUUUUUUUUACUAAAAAAAUAUUAGUAAUGACUAGAUAUUUUUUUUUUACAUUAAGUGUUGCACUGGAAAAAAAUAAUCUAAUAGUACUCUGAAAUAUAGUCAUAAUAUAAUUACAAGUAUAAAAAAAAUAUAAUAACCUGUAUUAAAUAUUUGUGCGGACUUUCUAUACCUUGUAAAAAAAAAUACAAAAGCAUUAAAUGUUAGCAUAGUAGUACAUUGGAAUGAAGACAGAUUUCUGUCUUCAUGUUGAAAGAUAAAUGAGAACCAAGAAAAAGUAGAUGAGGCAUGAGGUGUUAAUAUUCUUACUAAAAACUAAAAAUCAACUAGUGUACGAGUUACUUUCUUCACUGUUCAUUAACGAAAACAAAAAAAAGUACACAGUUGGUCACUGUGUUCAACAGGUGUUAUUUUUUACGCUCUAAAAUUAAAUUUUAAAAGCUCAACUCUAAUUAUAAUUUUUUUUUUUAAUUUUUUUUUAUCAAUAUUAGAGUUAGAGAAAGAGAGAAUAACUGGUUACCACGGAAUCAAUAAUAAAAAUAAUCAGUGAAUAAAUUUUAUUUGAUAAUAAAAGUUUGAUAGCAGUAAUUGUUUUAUAAGAUCUUGAAACAUUGGGUAACUCAAGCCUAUUAUUUGGGUUGAUUUUUUUUAUUAAAAAAAAAAAUUUAGCAUUGAGUUUUUUUAUGAAUUUUUUAUAUUUUUUUUUUUAAAAAAUUUUAUUUUUUAAUAUUAAAUUGAUUUUAAAUAAAUUUUUAUUUUUUAUUAUAUAAAUAAAAUAUUAUUAAAUUAAUUAAAAUUCAAAACUCAAAUAAUUUUUUUUUUGAAUCUCCACUAAGCUUCGUUUGGACCGCACUCAUAAAAAAAGAAGAAGGAAGCUUCAUCUCAUAAUAAAAUUUAAUUCUGUUCACAUAAGAAAAAGAUAUAUUGUAUCUAAAACAAAAUACAUUAGUACAUUAAUUAUGGUUGUUCUUACAGUGAUUUAGCCAUAAACUCUAGUAGAAUUUCUUUCUCCCUCUCUCUGUUUUUCUUCUUCUUCUUCUUUGAAUUUUAUAUUGCAACACAGCUGUGACGAGCUGUGUAUGCAGUUACAGCGAUGCAUUACAUUCUCGUUCUCCAGUUAUAUUCCCUAAAUCAGAAUUUGUCCAUUACCGCUUUACGAAUAUCUUCUCCUGUCCUUGUUGACUUCUUCUUCUUCUUCGUCUUCCUCUCUCUCUCUCUCUCUCUCUCUCUCUCAUUUCCAGGACCAAUUUACACCAGCCAUCUAGAAUACAAGUAACCAAAAAGAUAUAUUUUGAAUUAUACCACUUCAAUAUUAGCUGUAUCUGAAACCCUACAAGCGAUAAAAAGGAACUUCUCAAGAGAUCUAAACAUAAAAUAUUGUGUACUCAAAACACGCAUGGAAUCAUAUUUUCUAUUUUCUAGUCGAAAUUCUAAUACAUAUGGAAUCAUAUAUACAGAGAGAGAGAGACGCAUUUUAUUUUGUUCCAUAAAAAAUAUGCUUGUUUGGACCCAAGAAGAUCAUCAGAAGGGGAUGAAAAUGACAUAUUCUUGAGAAUACUCUUUCCUGGAAAAAAAAAAUAUUUGCAGAGAAGAAGAUAAUAUCAUAAAAAUUCUGAAAUUGCAUAUAAGUUUCAAUAUCAUACUUUACCUAAUCCCAAUAAGGCAACUGAGUUUUACAUUGCUUACAUUACAUGUAUGAUUAGACACCACUUCCACCCUUCUAACUCUCCUUUUUAAAUAGUAUAAUCCUUGCUAGCUAGAAUAUCUGAUGAUUUCAUCAUAUUUUUUAGAGGUCAACGGCGUAGCAGGUUAACCUGAUUUACCAUGUCCCUGUUGAACACCACCACCGCCACCAAUUUAUUGUAUAUAUAAAAGCUGAGAGCCUUCCUUCUCUCUUGUGUGUCUAUAAUACUGAUUUCUGAUUGAAUUUAGAUAAAAUAAUAAGAAAACUUAUUAAACCCAAAUUUAAUACCCAAUAAUCGUAGGUAUUUGCCGGUGUUGUCUUCUUACUGACCCUCUCUUCUCUCUAAUUAAUGAGCCAUCAUCUUACACAUAACCCCGUCAAUUUUACUUGUCAUUUAGUGUUGCUUAUUGACAGAAAUUAGCUCCACGUCUGGGCCCACCCACAGGAAGAAAGGAACCGCGCACCAAAUUUCUCCCGCACUUCACAGCAUAGUUGUGAACCGGACUCGAGUUUGAUUUUAUAAAACAGUCGGGUCAAUGUGUAAUCUGUCAUGUAGUGUUGCUUAUUGACAGAUAUUUUUUUUAAAAUAUCUGGUUUCAAUGCAUCUAAAUAAGAUUGCAGAUCAAUAUGUCAGGUUAAUUUUGAUUUAACAGAAUCAAUAUCAAAACUUGUUCAAAUUAAAAUCUGGAUCGGUUUGGUUUUCGAUCAAGUGUUUGCAAGAUCAGCCCAUCAAGCAGAAGGGGUUUUAAUAAACAUGCUUCAUACGAGGAGAUUCCUAGGGUUUGAACAGUAAUACUAAGAGCUCCUAAUGACUGGAUGCCUGCCGUGUUCUGGACAUGAAAAUUGAUCAAUUGAUACGAUACAUAUGAAAGCAAUGUUAGAGCUAGAUAUUCUUCAACCUAACAGUAACAGCAGUCUUGUCAAUUUUGAGUAGGAAUAUAAUUGACACCUACCAAAAAAAUUGACCAUUUUUGUUUCUCAUCAUGCAAGUAUUAGUCUCGAAAUAGGCAUAAAAAUCAGACAACUCCAAGCCCAACUCCAUCUACAACCCAGAUUUUUGCUGACAAAUUCUAACAAAAUAACCUCUUUUUUUUCGUUUUUUUUCCUUUGAGUUGCAUCAAAUUGCCCAUAUUUAUAUACUCUUUCCAUUCCAUAUCAGCAUAGCUUCAAAAUGUAAAUUAUAUAUCACGGGUCAGUUUAGUUGAGGCGUCCAUGUUUGAAGUUUCAAAAUGGAGGAGCGGUGGGUUAGGGUCAAGCAUCACAAAAGUCCAUAAAGAUGGUGCUGGUCAAAUGGUCCCAUUGAUGUUCUUUGUUGGAGCUUUGUGUGCCAUAAGUUGUGCUUUCGUUUAAGGAGUUGUAACCUUUGACAGUUGAAUUGUCUUUCGCCAGCAAGUCUCCAGCACUGGAUCCUAGGCUUUGACAGUUUGAUCUUCUAGCAAAUUUGCUGACAAAAAUGUGGUCAACGACACAGACAUGGGACACCAAAGCCUUGUCAUUUGCUGAAGGCACAGGCUUGCAGGCCGCAGCACCAAUUUGUUUCCACCAUUACGAGGCUAAAGCCCAUACUAUCUAAGCACCAUAAUCGUUGAUCCCUAGUCAAUGCAGGCCCAAGACUUAUGAAACCUUGAAGGUCUAGUCUCUUGUACAAAGCCCGAGAGAAAUCCAAAGCUUUCUUUCUCUGAUUUUUUAGAUAUUUUACAGACUCGAACUAAAGUUAUCCGUAGCUAACAUGGAAUCUGCUAAUCAGAGGUGGAACCAUAACUGUAGAUUGAAAGGAAAAAUAAGAAAGUAGUUGGUUACUAUCGUGGCCCGGUAGUAAGAGCUUAGGAUCAAAAAAUUUGUUUUCUUUGUGGUCUCAGGUUCGAGCCCUGAGUUGCUCAUAUGAUGGCCACUAGAGGCUUAUAUAGUCGUUAACUUCAGGGCUUGUGGGAUUAGUCGAGGUGCGCGCAAGCUGGCCCGAACACCCACGUUAAACUAAAAAAAAAAAAAUAGUUGGUUUUUGAAGAUGGAAAACAUGUAAAAUUGAAAAAUAUAACUAAAAUUUCUCAAAAUCUUAGGACUAAAAUGUAAAAUCUUCUAAGUUUAGAGAUGCCAUUACCCCGCUAAACUUCAACUGCCUUAAGCCCGUUGAUGCAGCCACUAGCGAGGCGAUCAGAGAUCUUGUUGUCGAUCUCACCAUCUUCUACCUGCAGUACAAGUAAGGAUAACACCAUGCAUCCUCUUUGCUUUGACAUUCCCCCCUUUCUUUAAUUUACAAGUCUUUAAUUUCUAAGUUCACUAAUGCUAGCCUUUCCUCGAAACAAAGGCACCUGACUGUAUCCUUUGUGCUUGUCGUAUUGGUGGAACCCCGAGGAAUUCCUUGGACCUGCUCCUUUGCUCCAAGCUCAUCGAUGGAUCUGUGACAGGUAACUUGUUAUUCUUGCAGCCCUUCGCCUCAAACGCUAUCAUCUGAUGCAAAAGGGCUCCUUCGAUUUUACUAAAACAUUAUGAUAUUAUCAAAAAACAAUUUCUGCGUAGCAGUCGGGAUGAACUUGCUGAUGAAAGGUUGCAAUUAGCAUUAACGGAGGAUCACAAGAGAUUAUACAGAUGCAGAACUUUGAAGAAUUGCACUGCUAUCUGCCCCCAAAAGCCUAAAUCCUGCCGAUGCUAUUCACAAGAUGAAGAUUAGGCAUUUACUUUCUGUGCCAACGGAGGAAGUGGCACAUAGGAAGUGGAAAGCGAUAACAGUGUCAAAGUAUGCUAAACUUAGUUAAUUCAAAUUGACUGACAUUUUUAUUUAUAUAUUUUUUAAUUUAUUUUUAAUAUUAAAUUAAUAAAAAAAAUAGUUUUCAUAAUUUAUUUUAUUUUUUAAAUAAAAUUAUCAAAUUCUGAGUUUUACAAGUUAAUCUAAAUCAAAUAAAAAUCAUAUUUUCUUUAUGUUUUUUAAAAAGAAUUUAAAAUAAUUAAAGCAACCUUAUUUUAACUAAGAAGAUUUGAAAAAAAAUUAACAAAUAUUUGAUCCAUGUUUUAUCUUGAAUUCACCCGAUUCAAGUCGAAUUAAUCAUUCCUUUAUUGCUUCUUAAAAUUAGACAAGUUUAAGCUACAUGUCAGCCCACUGUCGAGUCAACUUGAUCAGUCCUGAUUUUAUAAUUGAAAUAUUAUAAUAUUAUUGAUUUCAACAUUCAAUAUAAAUUAAAAUAAAUAAAAUAAUAUUUAAUUAUUUUUCUAAAUAUGUAAGUUUGACUAUUAAUAUUAAUACAUGUUAAAGAUAAAAUAGAUUUUUUUAUAUUUUAUUUUGUCAAACCUAUCAUAUUCAAAUAAAAUACAAAAACUAUCAUUUUAUCUCUCUCUCUCUCUCUCUCUCACACACACACACACACACACACACACACACACACACACACACACACACACCACACACACACACAAUUACCAAUAUAAUUCUAUCUCUAUUUUAUUACUAUUUGUAAUUUGUUUUAGAAUAAUAAUCAAAACGCUAUAAAAUUCACUAAUUAACCUGAACAAGUAAGUUAGAGCGCCAAAAUUGCCCUGUAUGACUCACUCAUCGACAUCUCAUUGUUCUCAAAGAAGGAAAAAAAUAAAGAAGGUUAUAAGGCCCAGGCAGAUAUAGGGCCUUAACCCAAAACUUUAAGUUUGGCUUUGAUUAGCAAUAUUAGAAUCUAGAAAAAGAAUUACUACAAAACCAAAUCAACAUGGAUGAUUUCUGGGCUUAAGGCUUUAGCCUCAUUGGCGCAGAAUUAGAAAGCUGAGAGGAGGUGAGGUCAACAAGGCUUCAUUUUUUAAGAAAAGAAAAUAAACAAUCGAGCUCGAGCUUUUCUUGGUAAGAAAUCCACAUGUCCUUUUUCAAUUUUAAGCUCAACAAGAAAAGAAACCAGAAACCAAUUCCUGUAAUAAAAUAAAUAAAUAAUUAUGCCCAUUUCUCACUUUCUUUCCUUUUCCUCCAAAUACCGCCCAAGACAGGCUCUCAAUCUACUUCAAAGGUCCCUCUCUCUUAAACUCCUUAAACCUUUUUUCUCUGGAUAAUCAAGAAGCUUUGUUAUGCAGCAAUUACCACUUCCUGGCGUAGUAGAAACUCUUUUUUUUUUGUUUUUCUUUCUUCUGAUGUUUAAGCAAAUGGGUUUUCUUGGAAGGGUUUAGGGCUAAGAUUACAGGAAUGCAUUUUAGUUUAUAUAUAUACUUCUGGAAUUGAACUCUGUGUAGUUCUGUUUACUGUUCAUUCUUUAAAGGUUGUUGGAUUUUUCUUAUGAAAGUGUCUAGUUUAGCAUUAUUUAGUAAAAGUCUUUUCUUUACAUUUGAAGGAUGAUUUCAAAGACAAUUAUUAGUGAUUUUUUUCGCUGAAUUUUGUGAUGUUAUUAGUUUUCUCUGUUUAUUUUGGGGGCAUUUUGAUUAUAUGUGAAGCAUUGGUGUAGGCUUGGUCCAUCUAAGAGGGUUCAAUCGAGCAAUCUUUCAAAAUCAACAAGACAGAAUCACGGGAAGCUGGAUGGUCGUCUUGUAGAACAAGUACAAGUCGAACCACGGGUUCCUCGCUCCUAUGCCAUUGUAUGCUGCCUAACCCCUUCGUUAUCGCUAAUUGAUAUGUGUUGGUUCUCCAUUUGAUGUGCCAUUUUUAGAAUAUGGUAGAUUUUGAUUGUUUGUUUUUUUUUUUUAAUUUAUUUAUUAAAAGGAGGUGGAUUCUGUAGUCGAAACUAUAAAUGUUUUUAAAAUGUGUAAUUUUGCAGCCAGCUGCUAUGCUCGGAUUUGCUGGAUUGGCAGCUUUUGUGCAUUAUAAUGAUGAGAGGCGAGCAGUUCCAAAAGGUACAUUCUAUGUUUUACUAUUAUCAACCGACUGUUUGUAAUGGAUCUGGAAUUUUAUUUGCAAGAAAAUAUUUGUCACUUCAACAUUUUGUGCUUGUUGAUUUCAAACAUAGGCUGAUUCCUUCUUGGUUUCUUAGAUGGAGAUAUUUAAUGUUUUGGUUCUUUGUCAUGCAUGUCGAAGGGGAAAAUUCUGUGAUCAUUUAUUAUUAAUAUGAGUCAAUCCUGGAUAGUAAUUACUUAACAAUUCCUUGUUCAGCAGUAUCUUAUUACAGUGGUUUGAAGUUUUUUUAUAAUAAAUUUUACUUUAUGUAAUAUUUGCUGAACUUUCUUUGUUAUUGAAAUUUACCUUGAGCACAUUUUGCUGGACUGGAACUGUCUAUCAACCUAUAAACUCACUUGUGCUCUUUGUUAUCAAGAUGCCAUUAAAAUAGGUGCAGCCUUUUAGGGGAACACAGUGCUUUCAAUUGGGUCUAGUUCUAUUGAAUCUUAAGAAAGAAGAGUUACUGCACUACACCAUCAGGAUUAACAAAGAAAAGUCAAAUCAAUCCUCUUGGUUGCCGCAUCCCUUUUCUUUUUUCUUUUUCUGAGGUUCAAAUAUUGUGCUUUGGCAUUAUAUUUAUUGAUUGCGAGCCCGCAUUCCGCUCAAUCCUAAAGAAGGGAAUGGUUUAAGGGAUGCCACUAGCUUUCUGAUUGAUAAGACCGAUCCUUCUUCUAUUAGUCUAGUCCUUUUUGGUGAAAGGACGAAUCGGUAGAAAAAGGCUUAGAAUCGGUAGUUUCGAUCGACGAAUCACGUGUCUCUCUUUUCUAAUUGGAUUUGUUCUCUGCAGUUGAUGAUCAGCGAAUCAUCAAUCAGUCUUUCAGUGUUUCCGCUCGAUAAGGAAAUCUUCAUGUGAUUCUGCGGUCCUUGUUGCCAAUGCUUUGAUUAAGGGAAGGGGAUUCCAAUUGAUUACUUUUGAAUUCAUAUUGUUCUUGGUUCCGUUGCUUUCACCGAGUUCUUAAGAAACUUGAACAUGAAACAAGUAAAACACUUCACCAAAUUGCAUUUCACCUCACAUUUUUCAAAGAAAUAAUCUAACAAAAGAAUUAUGGGAUACAUGUUAGGCUGCUGAUAUGCAAAAACAAGUGGUUCCUUAUCAUGUUUUUUAACGUCAAAACGAGGAACCCAAACUUGAUCACAACAAACACAAAUGGGUUGCAAGACCCACUGAGAUCAUCCAUAAGCAAAAAAAUAUACCUAGUGGUGGCCCAAAUAAAUGUUUUACACUUGAAAGAAUGUCACUGACAUUCUCCUUCUCUAACUUUCUGAGUAAUCAUCACUGUCCAGGUUCUCUGAGUUGUGUGACUAAAAAUGUUGCACUAUGUAACCUUACACACUGUUACACCUAUUGUUUGGUUGGCUUCAUCUUGGAAUGGAAUGUGUGUAGGAUGGAAUACUGAACCUGUGCUCUGUCAUCUCUAUGUCUAGAGAUUUGUUCAUCAUAUUGUUGACUACUGCAUGGUAGUCAUCAAAAUAAAGGCUAUUGUUGGGGUGACAAUCAUGUUUACUAAACACUGAGCUUCUGCUUCUGGAAGAUCAAUUGGUGCUUGAUUAUCUUCUUUCUGAAAAGAAAUGAUGAACAUAACCAAUAGUGGUGUGGCCACCACAUAGCUGCCAUGUGGUGGUAACACCAGGUGCAAAGCAGCUUGUUUAGGACUUCUUUUAACCUUGUUUUCCCACAUUUUUAAUUGUAUUUUUUCUGUUUAUUGGUUAGGUCAAGGCAGUGAUCGCGGCAAUGUCAAGGGUCCGACUAUUGGUGGCCCGUUCACCCUAAUUAACACAGAGGAUAAAGUAGUUACUGGGAAAGACUUUCUAGGAAAUUGGGUCUUGCUGUACUUUGGCUAUACAUCCUCCCCUGAUGUUGGGCCUGAGCAACUGAAAGUGAUGGCCAAGGCCAUAAACACAUUAGGUCCGAUGCAUUAAUCAGCAUUGUUUUUUGUCCCUCUUCCUUUUUGUUUAUUUUGGUUGGGGGGACUGUAUAUCUGACAUCUGUAUCUUAUAUGGAUCUAGAGUCUAAAGCAAAUCUCAAGGUUUUGCCAGUGUUUGUCACACUUGAUCCUCAGCGUGACAAUCCCUCGCAUCUUCGUGCUUACCUUAAAGGUCAGUUAUAUACUUGCUACUGCACAUGUUUCAUACAAUCCAUUAGUUGUGUUGUAAUAACUGGCUGUGGUUAUCAUAUAUUAAUGAACUUUGAAUGACUGCAGAGUUUGAACCAAGAAUAGUAGGAUUAACAGGAUCUGUGGGUGCUAUAAGGCAGAUGGCACAAGAGUACCGUGUUUAUUUCAGGAAAAUUGAAGAGGAAGGAGAAGAUUAUCUUGUUGAGUCUUCUCAUGGAAUGUAAGCCCAAAGCUCAACAACUGCUUUCUUUUCUUCUCAUUUUUUAGUUUCCACUUUGGCUUGAUCACGAAGUGGAUUUUAUGAAUUUUAAAACAUGCAGGUAUUUGAUCAAUCCAAACAUGGAGGUUGUAAGAUGCUUUGGCGUUGAGUAUAAUGCAGAGGAGCUAUCGGAAGCAAUACAAAAGGAAUUGAAGAGAACCUCGGCUUGAUUGUUUUGAAAAUUUUGAUGUGCUCUCAGUCUUCGGGGAAUUUUUUAUUUUUCAAGGUGUCUAACUCACAUUCCUAUUCUUUUCUUCUAUUUUCUCAAAGUAUAGUUGAAGCGUCAGGAAUGAACAUUUCCAGAUCCAUGACUUUUGAAAGAAUGUAAUGAUUUUUUGCUAUUCGAAACAGUUAGAAAAUGAGGUAGCAUUUGAUAGUCUCCGGCAGAAUGUAAAUCUUUGAUUGUUCUCUUCAACUAACCAACAUUCCUUGCGGAAGAUUGUCAACUAUAUUCAAACUACGAAUUUCAACGUCUAAGACACCCAUCUCGUGACGGUUUGUACUGGAUAAUUGUCCAUUCAGUCGAGAAAUAAGGGUAAGACUUUGCUGUAUGUGCUUUUUUAGACUGACUUUCUACUUUCAUUUAAAGGACACGUGAUGCGGAACAAGAAAGAAGGAAACCAAGAAUUGAAAGCAGGGAAAAAGAGAAAAUGUAGAAGAGGAAUAGUAUGUAAUUUUAUCGAUUCAACAAAAUUGUUUCAUAAAUAAUAAUAAUAAUAAUAACAUAGAAUUAGCAUGAUUCUAAAAUAUCCUAACUAUUAGGUUCAGUCUAUCAACUAAACUUGUUCAAAUAAAUAAUUAAAAUAAAAACAAUGAAAUAGGCUUGGAAAAGUUUAGUUUCCCAACUAAAAAGUGACAAGUCGGGCUAUUUUUUGUCAUCUCUGUCCAUAAACUUGUGUAAUAUAUGGUCUGGUGUUCCCACUAACUCUCUCGGAGUCGGAGAAACUUAACCCCAUCAAGUGUAGCUUUGAACGGUUCUAAUAGUGCUCCUAUAGAUCUGGAUCAAUUUGUUGUAAUGUAUCUCUAGUUAUUUAAGUGCAAUUUGAAUCAAAUUAGUCUAUCUAACAAACUAGAAACCGUUGAAAUUCACCAUCCCCCGUACAAAAACAACUUGUUCAUUCGGAAUAACAUCAAUAUUAUCCUUUUGUGUUAAUGUUAAGGUGAAAGGGGUAGAGGUUUUAAUAGGAUCAUCAAGGGUGAGAUUAUGUGGUAUCUCCAUGAGAUCAUUUGGAAUAGGAUGUAGUUUCUUGUAUACAAUUGGAUCCUCAAUGUUAAAUGUAAAGCUAAUACCAAAAUUAAGAGGUAAAUCAAUAACAUAAGCAUUUUGACCAACCAGUUGUCGCACUUUAAAUGGCUUAGUACUACAUGCUUGUAAUUUUUUGAGUAGGAUACCAUUUGGGUCUAAUAUAUAUAUCAUAACAUAGUCUCCAACAUUAAAUUCAUUAAGUCAUUUAUGUAAACCAGCUUGAAGUUUAUAUUGUGCAUUGCCUGCUUGAAUCUGCUUAGUGAUCUUAGCAUGUAAAUACCAAACCCUACGUGCAAAUGACUCAGCUGAAUCAAAUACCCUAACAUGAGGAGAUAUGGUAAGAAGGUUUAAAAGCUUUAUAAGUUGUAACUUUGUACAACUUCAAAGGGAAUCAUGUCUAUCAACAUAUUGAAAAAGCUAUUAUUGAAAAAGCUAUUAUAAGCAAACUGGAUAGUAAGAAGAACUAAAUCUCAAUUCUUAUUAUGAUUACACACUAGACAUCUUAAAAGGUUUUUUAAACCCUUAUUAACCACCUUGAUUUGACCAUAAGUUUGAGGGUGGUAUGCAUUAAAAGAUUUCAAAUUAGUUCCCACCAUAUGCCAAAAGUUUUUCAAAAAAUAACUCAUAAAUCUAAUAUUUAUAUCCAACUUAGCUAAAUCACUUUUUAACUUAGACUAAAAAAAUUGAUGUUCCACCUCUUGGAUGGUUUUAUUUUUUCCAAAGGCCUUGAACCCUUGACAUUGACUUCAGAAUGAAGGUUUCCAGAGGUUAAUUAGCUGGUUGCCUUCACUGACUUGAUCCUAUCUACUAUUAUAGAUUUUUUUUUAUUUUUUUGGUCUAUCGUAGUGCUAUGGAAGUGUGUGUGUGUAUAAUAAAGUCCCUAUUGCGAAGGAGAGACCCAUUCCUAUGAGCAAAAUUAGACCCGAAUCCUAAUAUUCUACAUCGGUCGAUUUCUUUUCCCUGUAGAAUUGAGUAUUAAUUAAUUAGCGCAGAAAGUCAGUUCUAUUAUUGCAAAUAAAAAGGAUUGGAACUUCCAUAUUACUAGUGGGUUGGUGUACAAAAUGCAGCCUCUCUCGUACGUGCAGUGCUCAAAGCCUCCAAUAUGCCAACGUGCCCACCUCUAUUUCUCUGUAUCAGCAGCACGCCUUCAUUGGCUGUAAAGAAAAAGAAGAGGCUCUUGGAAACUAUGCUCUCUCUUUCCCAUAAUCCCAAUUCUUUAUUAUUUUUUUGAGAUUAUGUAAUAUUACUGGAUGGUUGGCAAUGCACCUUGAUUUACGUCCGUGAUGUCCAGUAAUGAUGUGAUUUUAUUGGUUUUUUUACGUCCGUGCCUUCAUGUGGGCUGGGGCAUAGUUUUGCUCUGAUUACAUGAAUUUGCAAUUAUUUUUUAGCAAAUUAAUCCAAUCCAACUUUUUUCAAAUCCAUAUCAAUCACAUACAAUGUACUGCAUCAAUACACACACAAGACACUGCAGAACUUGUCUGGGUACAAAUUAUUCGUUUUUUUUUAAUUAAUAUUAGUGUUCGAAUUAAUUUGUGUGUAUUUCAAUUAAUCCUACAUAUUCUGAAAUUAACGAUCAUGUAAGCUUCCAGUGACCCCGAUAUUUGUAAAACUCGAACUGGUGACCUCUAGAAAUCAAACCUAGAGUUUGAUCGAUUGAGCUACACAUCAAGAUUAUUCACUUGUUUUUUAAUUUACGUGUCUCAGGGUAUUGAAUGUUUAAAAGUAUGAUAAGGUUGUUUUUAAUAGUAUUAUUUUACUUGAAAAUAUAAUAAAAUAAUAAUUUUUAAAAAAUACAUUAAAAUAUCUAAAAAUACAAAAAAAAAUAUAAUUUAAAUUAAAAAAAUUAAAAAAUUUUAAAAAUAUCUUUCAAAAACAAAAACAAGCAGAAUUUUAAGUGCAUUCAUGUGCAAAAAUGUAGGGCAAAGGCAAGGAAAUACUUCUUUUCUUUGCUAAAAUUUUAGAGAUCCACGUUUCAUAAAAGACCGGGUCUUUUGGUUCCCCCCUUUUCCACCACACACGAAACAUGAAAUAAAAGAGAACAAAAAAUUGAACAAUCGAAGACCAUCUUCCCCUUUUAAAGUUUAAUAAAACCAUACCAACUGUAAAUUAGUGUGCUCCUUUUGCUAAAGAAAUUUACAAAUUUUCCCCCCACAUUCAUCAUGCCAUUUCAUGUCUUGUCUCCAACAGAAAGAGAGCGAAAUCAAAGAGAUUCUAUGUCCUUGCAGCCGCUUCAGGGGCCCUUGCAAUCCAUCUCCUGGAGCUAGCUAGCUAUUUUCAAACCCCACGUUCAUUCUUUCUCUCUUUCUUUUUUCCUGGCUUUAGGCAGGGUUCAAUCUUCCUGACUGGCAAAACCCAUAUAUAUAUAUGUGUGUUUAUACUUCGAAUCUCUCAUUUCUGAUGGAUAAUUUGUGUUCAAUGUCUCUCCAUCAUCAUGUUUCCAUAUUGUUUUCAUAGCUAAAUAGCUAGCAAUGUUCUGUGUCUUUGUUGGUUUAAAAAUGUGCCAUCCUUCUCAACCAUAAAAGCUGCAUUACCUGUAAGACUUGAGGAGAGAGGCUCAAAGGUCAUAACAGAAUAUGGGAGACUUGUCGCCGGAAAAGAAAUCUUCAGGUUGCGGCCUAUUUUCAGCGGUCUUUGGUCGAAGAGUUUUUUGGCCAAGAAGAUCAACAUCCACAGGUUCAAUUAGUACAAUGAAUGCAGCCAAUUUCACCAAAACACCCACCACGCCGAAGAGGAGAAGGAGUGGAUCCGAUGAGGCUGCAUUUCUAGGCAAUCCGUCUGGCAUAGCAGAGGAGCAGCGAAAACCUAUCACAAAAGCUCCCAUGCAUCCCAAGAUACCUCCUUCAAAGAACCAAAACUACGGUAGAAAACUUCCCGAGGACGCAACCAAAAUAUCAUCUGAUCAAGGUCAUGCUAAUCAAAAUCAAGGUUACGGUAAUCAAAAUGCUGUUAACAUGGUAGGAGGGUUCCUAAGGAGGCAGUUGGUCUUUCAGGUGAGCUCGAAAGCUAUAUCUCUGAUCAUCAAAAUCUAAAGGAAGCAGCACGCUUGUUCGUGCUUCAUCCAGCAACGUGAUGCUCUUGGCAAUUUAGGUAACUUGAGGCAGGGAGGGGUGGAGGAAAUACGACUUCUCGUGAUGUUCUUGAUUACCUUCCCAAGACCGCAAGAGAAGAGGUUGCAACUCCUAAUGGAAAUACCCUAAUAGUGUAAUGGGAAAUGUAGUGAAGAAACAGAACGAAGAGAAACCAAACGUAGGUGCGCAGCCUGCUGCGGGUUCUUUAUGCAGGGCUCUCUCCACUAGAAUGGACCCUGAGCAGCUUAAAAUUAUGGGUAAUGAGGAUUACAAGAACGGGAAUUUUGCAGAGGCACUGGCUUUGUAUGAUGCAGCAAUCUCGAUUGAUCCUAACAAGGCUUCUUAUCGGAGCAACAGAAGUGCGGCGUUAACAGCUCUAGGUAAACUUCUUGAGGCAGUCUUCGAGUGCAGAGAAGCCAUUCGAAUCGAACCCCAUUAUCAUAGAGCUCAUCAUCGUUUAGCAAACUUGCAUCUCAGGUAAAAAAAAAAAAUAAAAAAUACCAUUAAUUGCCAGGGGACUCUAAUUCAAUUUAGUGCCAUUCUAAUUUUAUACUAUGUUUCUUCUUUCCAUUGGUGAAAUUUUUAUGUGUUCAUAGAUUAGGCGAGGCAGAAAAGGCUAUAUAUCACUACAAACGUGCAGGGCCAGAAGCUGACCAUGCUGACAUUUCAAACGCUCAAGCUCUUCAAGCCCAUCUCAACAAGUGCACUGAUGCUCGUAGACAUCGAGAUUGGAACACCUUGAUCAAGGAGACUGCGGCUACCAUAUCUGCUGGUUCUGAUUCAGCACUGCAAGUAAUCCACCUAGUUUCCAUUGAACACGUUCAAAUAUUAAAUACCGCCAUGCUUGCUAAGCUCGUUUUGUGUCUAAUAUAGAUAUAUGCAUUGCAAGCUGAGGCCUUGAUAAAGCUUCAUAGGCACCAAGAGGCCGACGAAGCAUUGCAAAAGGGUCCAAAUUUUGAUGUGGAUGCCUGUACACAGUUUUUUGGUCCAAUUGGCAAUGCAAAUCUGUUGAUGGUACGAGCUCAGGUUGACAUGGCUAUUGGCAGGUUAGUGCUCUGUGUUACAUAGUCACACAUUAUUAGAAUUGCAUUUGAGGUGACAAUUUGCAUGAGAGCGUAGUAAAUGAUUGCAUAGGCUCAUAAAUAAUUAAAAGAAAGGAAUGGGUGUAAUCUGGUGUUGAGGAACAGCUCAAAAGGCAUAUUUUUGCUGGGAAAAAGUGGAACCAAAAUAUAUACAAAGUCAAGGAAAAAUCUGACCACUUACCCUCCAGUCACCAACUUGCUCAGCUAUUCCCUAAUGAUUGUUUGGGUUAAAUGCUUUCAUUUUGCACCUAAGCUUUUAUGGUAAAAGCAGGGUUUUUUUUUAACAAAAGACAUGCUUUUCUCUGGUAUUUUCGCUUAUUAAUAUAGAAAAUAAAAAAUUAACAGAAUAAAACUGAGGUAAAAAAAUAUUAAGUGGUAAGAACUGCUCUUCUAUUCACCAAAUAAGGAUUUGAAUUUUAAAUAUUUCGUCUUCUUAUAGAUUGUUAAUGAUAUGCUGAACACUUUUCAAAUGAACUUGACAGGUUUCUAUUGUUGACUGUUAUUAAUGGGGUUCACGUUUGAGCCAAAACAUAUAUUUGACUAUAACUAAGCCUGUCUAAUUGAAAUAAUUAAUGCCAGCUUUUAUCCGCUAACCAUUUAAUUUAGUCCAAUAUAAUUGAAGGAAUGCGUCGGUUAAUUGUCCUUAUUGUUUAUCGAGUUAAUAAAGCUUUUAACCUCUGGAUUAACAGAUUUGAUGAUGCUCUGGCCACGGCACAACGAGCAACAAGGCUUGAUUCUAACAACAGGGAAGCAUAUACGGUGUUGAAGAAGGCUAAAGCUGUAGCUGCAGCUCGAUCACAUGGCAAUCAGCUUUUUAAGGCAGCAAAAUUUUACGAGGCAUGUAAUGCAUAUAGUGAGGGACUUGAGCAUGAUCCCUUCAACUCAGUGUUGUUAUGCAACCGAGCUGCCUGCCGGUCCAAGCUUGGCCAGUAUGAAAAGGCGGUGGAGGAUUGCAACGCCGCCGUCACUGUGCGCCCAGGUUACGCAAAGGCCAGGCUAAGAAGAGCAGAUUGCUUUGCGAAGGUGACUAUAUUUAGUUUUUACAGCAAUUUAGAUGAUGUCAAAUAUGGUUUGAUAAUGUCUAAUGCUUGCUUCACUGAAACAGCUGGGAAAAUGGGAAGUUUCGAUCAAAGAUUAUGAGAUGUUGCAAAAUGAAGCCCCGGAGGAUGAAGAACUGGGCAGGGCCUUGACGGAGGCCAAGGAACAGCUCAAGAGGCAGAAAGGACUGGACGCUGCAGCUUGAAGCUCGAGGCCAAGUAGUGUAAUGUAGAAAGAAAUCGCUGGAGCAGCUAUCAGAACCAAUGAGGCCAAGAACCAAAAACGAGAGACUAGUUAUGGCUAGCGUUGACCCUGAUGCAGCAGAUGGAACGCACAAGGUUGAGGUGAUCAGAGACAAGAAACUGCUAUGGUUAAGGGAAGAAAUCUCACUGAUCGGGCAUCGUGGUUUAGAACAUGGUGCAAAGGACUUGGUUUUUUUAGGUAUAGAUUGAUGUUUGUGUGAAUUUUUUUGAAAAGAUGUAUGAUACUGAAGCUAUUUCUAAGAGUGCAAAAUCACACCAAGAAAGGAUGAUCUAAAAUUUUUUCAUUUUCUGUCGAGAAUCAAUGUUGGAAACAUGAGUUAUCGAUUGCCAGUUAACAUUGUUUAUAGGUUCGGCGGGUCUCUGGCUGCUUGCUAUAAGCCUGUUUUAGAGUAUGAUAAUUUAUGUUUUUAGAUGUUUUUUUUAAAAUAUUUAUAUCUUAAAAAAAUAUUAAAUUGUUAUGUUUUUAGUGUUUUUCUAUCUAUUUUUUAAAUAAUAUAAAAAAAUUUAAAAUAUUUUAAUAUAUUUUCAAACUAAAAGUAAUUUUAAAAAUUAACAUUAUACUAGUAUUUGAUAUAUCAUUAAGAUUUUCAAUUUCAAUAAUUGUUUUACCAUUCAUUAAUUCAUUAAAGUUUUCAAAAUAUAAAAAUAUUAAAUAUUUUUUUUUAUAGAAAAACCAACACAAUCACCGAAACAAUAGUAACACAUUUGAUCUUAAAGAAAACUAGGGUUUAUUUUAUUCAAUCAAUAAUACAUUUUAAUCUGAAUGUACACAUAUAGAGUGUUUAUUUAUAGAUACCCAAACAUAUAAAAUAAAAUAAAAAAUUAAUAAAAGUACUAAACUCUUCAUUUAGCUACUAAGUAAUAAAUACUUGUACUAGAAACUCUGCAAAGAUAUCUAUAACGUAAGUCAACAAAUAAAACAGAGUAAAAAUAAAGAAAAGGAGGGAAGUCAGAGAGAGAAGGUAAAGAAUAAAGAAAAUGGGUAAUCACCUUGAUCAAAUUUCAAAGCAGUUUCUUGAUUAAUGUUAUGAGAUAAAUUUAAAAGAAAAACAUAAAAAGUUAAAUCUGGGUGAAUCAAAGCUGCUCGAAAAACUUCAUUCAGAAAACGGGGUAAAUCUAGGUGACCCAACUUCACUGACAUUUUGACAUGGCAUCAUGAACGGUCCAGAUCUAUAAAAAACAUCCUUAUAUUCUUAUACAUAGUUUUUGAUUUGGAUUAAACUUCCUUAUUUUGGUUUUUAAUCUCUUCUUUCAUAAAACAAUAAUUCCACAAACUUAUAAUAAUUUUUAGAAAAAUUUAUACAUAAGUAUCAAACUUAUAUUAAUUUUUAUUUUAUUUUAGUUUAUAUUGAGUAUUAUAUAUAUAUAUAUAUAUAUAUAUAUAUAUAUAUAUAUAUAUAAACAUGUACUAGCACAGCUGGUUAUCCAGGACUCAACUAACUUAAAAUUUGAAUUGAUUCAGUUUGACAUGAUAAAAAAUCCCGGUUGAUCCAAGAUAAAAUCCAAAUAAAAAAUUCAUUAAUUUUUUUAGGGGGUCAAACAAUAUCAUUUUGAUCAUUUAAAAAAAAAAAUUGAGCUUGUCAAACUAUGAUCUAAAUUUUAUUAUAGAUCAAUUCUUAAUUGGGUAUUCAUAAUUACUUUUAUUCUUAAAUGUUUUAAUUAAAUAAUUAGUUCAUUAACAUACACUGCAGGUUUGAAAAAAAAAAUCUUUCGAAAAUUAUUUUUAUUUAUAUCCUUUCAAUCAAUUAUGUUUAUACAUUUCAGGUGUCACGGGUUAUUUAAAAUUUAAUUUUGAACUUCAGAUCAAACAAAACGUAACGCCUGAGAGAUAAGAUCAUGAGAUAAGAUUAAAUCUUUUGUAUGUAAACAAGCUAAUCAUCUAUCACUGUCAAAUUGAGAAUUCGAAGAAUAGUUUUUAUGGGUUCGUCGUUGUAGUCAUCUUAUCCUAUUCCAUGAGAUAAGAUCAUGAUUUCAAACCUGUACGAUCACACACCUUUCUUCUGUGCCAUUUACGGCCCAUUAAUAUCCCAAUUAUGACAAUUAAUGCAUACCACGACAAAUUGACCUCACCAUUCUUUAGAUCCAAUCUUACCGACAAUAAUAAAAAAAAAAAACACACAAAAAAAAAAACACCUCCACGUUCUCAGCAUCUAACUAGUUGCCCCUUGGAACAAUAUUCAAAAGCCUAAACUAUCAUCAUCUUCUUAAUCCAUCAUAAUUCAUAACGAUGAAUCUCAAAACAAGCUUCAUUAUAAUCCUCGUAUAAUUAAAAGAACAAUGCUUUGGACAACUUUAAUACAUAUAUAUAAUGUCGAGCAAGACAAGAUCUCCUCACUUCCAUGUUAUUGAAUAUAUAUAUAUAAUCAAGAACAUUUGUCCAGAUUAUUUUCCUCAUCAAAAGAUGAUGAUCACAGAUCGUCAAAGCUUGAUCGAUCCAACACACCCAUCUACCAGACACACACACAAUUAACCUUGAAGUUAAAAUCUCUAUUACAUAGAAGAGCUUCCGGCGGAUUUCUUAACACCAAGNNNNNNNN
This 66816-nucleotide long non-coding RNA is filed under the name Populus tremula. RNAcentral's name for it is "long non-coding RNA (PTRE_LNC002665)". The record is from RNAcentral. Lineage: Eukaryota; Viridiplantae; Streptophyta; Magnoliopsida; Malpighiales; Salicaceae.